Molecule: long non-coding RNA, 51436 nt
Filed under: Vitis vinifera (wine grape)
Lineage: Eukaryota; Viridiplantae; Streptophyta; Magnoliopsida; Vitales; Vitaceae
Description: long non-coding RNA (VVIN_LNC005948)
Source: RNAcentral
CAAUAGGACACCUACGUUUUCGGAGUAUACCAACACUCAAUAAUCUCGAUUAAUUAAAAUAAAUUAAAAGAAUUAUAAUAAUAAAAUUUAAAAAAAGAAUUUCAGUUAUGACCACAUGCUCUAGAAAACAAAACCCUGUGAAUAUCUUCCUCGAGUUAACAGUAAACUCUCAAGAGUUAUAAUGAAGAGUUCGACUUCCGCAAGCUGAUUGGGUAGCUCAACCCCUAAUAUCUCAAGUGAAGUGUAAUAAUGCUAAUUCAAGUUUCAUAAUCCAACAAUCUCUCACUUGAAUACUAAAAUAUAGGUAAACAAGUAAACAUCUCCCUUAAAUGAUUAAUAGGUAUGAUGCACUUAAACAACCUAUCCUCACCCUUGACCUACUAAUUGCUUUGGUCAACAUGUUAACUAGAUUCUUACUACCUUAUAUAUUUACAAGUGUUAAUACUCCAUUUUCAAGUAAAGACUUAAUGAAGUGCUAUAUGUUUAGUCCUAGAAUGAAAUGUUGAAUUCUUAGCAAAAUUUAUAACACUUUGAUUAUCACUAUCAUGCAAAACAUCCAUCAGUUGUUUGAAUCCUAACUUAGCCAACAAACUCUGCAACUAAAUCAUUUCUUUGCUAGCUUCUAUCAUAGCCACAUACCUUGCUUCAGUUGUAGAUAAAACAACAAUCUCCUGUAAUUGGGAAAUCCAACUGAUAACGAUAAUGCCCAAAGUGAAUACAUACCCUAUAGUGUUCCUUCUGAGAUCUGUCUUGCCAAAAAAAUCAGUGUCCACAUAUCCUUACAAUUUCAACUUACUCGUUCUAAAGCAUAAACACUUUUAUGUAAUACCUCAUAAGUACCUAAGUAUCCAAUUCGAUGUUUCUUAAUGUUGCUUGCCUGAAUUUGAUAUAAAUUUGCUCACAACUCCCACUACAUAGGUAAUGUCUGGUCUUCUACAUACCAUAGCAUACAUCAAACUUCCAAUGGUCGAAGUAUAUGAGACCUUAGCCAUGAAGUCUUUUUCCUCAUUUGUUCAUGGGCAAUGCUCCUUACACAACUUAAAAUGAUUUGCUAAUGGUAUUCUAACUGUCUUAGCAUAACUCAUGUUGAAUCUCUACAAUACCUUACGAAUACACUUAGCAUGAUAUAACCAUAAGGUGCCCAUUUGUUUGUCUUUACUAUUCGUCAUCCCAAGUAUACGUUUUGCUACACUCAAGUCCUUCAUUUCAAACUCAUUGGACAACUGUUGCUUCUUCAACUUGUUGAUUUCAUCUAAAUAUGUGUCAACUACUAACAUGUCAUAAACAUAAAGUAGCAAAAUGAUAUAGUUAGAACCAAUCUUCCUGAAGUAACAACAAUGGUCUACAUUGCACUUGAGAUACCCAUUAUUUUGCAUGAAAUUGUUAAACCUUUUAUAUUACUGUCUCGAAGCUUGUUUUAAACCAUAUAGACUCUUAGUUAAUCUGCAUAUCAAAUUCUCUUUACAUUUCACUACAAAUCCUUUUGACUGUUGCAUAUAUAUUCCCUCUUCCAAAUCACCAUGGAAGAAAACCGUCUUCACAUCUAAAUGUUCAAGAUGUAGACCUUUUGCUACUACAAUACUCAAAACAGAUUGAAUAGUAUUCAAUUUCACAACUGGAGAGAAGAUGUCUAUGUAGUCAAUCAUUUCUUUUUGCUGAAACCUUUUAACCACCGAUCUAACCUUAUAUCUCUUAGAACCAUCAUGGUUAUAUUUGAUUCGAUACACCCAAUUAUUAUGAAAAGCUUUUUUACCCAUUGGUAACUCCACUAGCUUCCAAGUCUGAUUAAAAAUAAGAGAUUUCAUUUCCUUUUUCAUUGCAAGCUCCCCUUGCUAUUAUGUUCCACCUGACAUGCUUCAUCAUAACAUUCAGGGUCACCUCCAUAUUUCAAUAGCAAAUAAUUCAAAUACUUCUUGUUUGGUACAUGUGGCAUGUUGGAUCUCCUUAAUGUAAGAACUACGGCUAGAUCCUGUGGUAUAUGAUCAACAUCAUAUGCAAUGUUUUCUUCAAUUUGAUUAUUCUAACCUGUCUUAUCUACCAUACUACAUUAGGAUAUCAUCUAAGCUCAAAGUAAACAGGUUUGGGUUAUAUCAGUCUAAUGGACUAUGUUGCAUCUCUAUCUUUAUACAAAACUUUCUCAUUGAAUAUAACAUCCUUACUUUUAAUCACUUUCUUAUUUUAUUCAUCCCAAAACUUAUAACCAAAAUCAUCAACACCAUAACCCAAGAACAGGUCUACCACAACACACAAAAUGUACAUGGUCAGAAAGAAAAUCAAUCAUCACAGGGUCUUUCUUGGGGGGUUGAAAAUUCAAUCCGCCUAUCAUGCAAGAAACUGGAUUCUCAACUCCAAACCAACAAAACAAACAAAAACAGCCAACCCACACUCAGCCGUCACUCUUCUCAUUUAAUUUCUUCCUCCAUUUUACUUUUUCAAUGUUAAUCCUACGCUAGUACGUAAAAUGUUGAACUCAAUUAUUUAUUAGUAUCAAGUGAUUAAAGAGGAAAAAAUAUCACCCUCAUACCCAAACUUCAAACUGGACCUGGGUUACUUUUUUUGUCGAUGCUUAGUUGAAGCGUCAAACCCCAACAGACUGGUGAAUUAAAGCUUACUAAGGAAUAUGGUAAACCAUCCUCUAAAUCUUUCAAUUAAUUGAUCCCAAUAAAAAACUAGGCACGUAAUUACUUCCUGAAUUUUUAGCCGUAGGUCAUUUACGAAAACUGUUUUGUAAUGAAUAGAUCUACAGAGAGGAAGACCAAGUCCAAGAGAUGCCCAAUUUCAAGUUCUCUUUCCCAGCAUGCGCUUUAAUUUAACCUACACCGAAACGGCACAUGCAAAAAAAUCCAACAUGGCCAACUAAGGUGGCUUCAACAGUAGACAUUUCUACGUAGACAGAAAAAGAAAAGAGUUCCACGAUUAGCAUAAAUAUGGAGUGCUACUCCACCAAGAGAGAACACCAAAUCGGGCUUAACCAGUUCCAAAUACAAAGGUUCCUUGGUUUUUGUCUCGACACAUCCAAAUUAAGCCAUGGCUUCCCUAUCCUUGUUUUCCUUUUUCUGUAUGUUUUCGUUUCUACUGGGGAUGGCACAUGCACAGCUCUCCCCCAACUUCUAUGCAAGUUCAUGUCCUAGGGCUCUCUCUACCAUUCGAACUGCAGUAAACAAUGCAGUGGCCAAAGAGCGCCGCAUGGGGGCCUCAUUGCUCCGCCUUCAUUUCCAUGAUUGUUUUGUAUUGGCAAGUCCUCCACAUAUAUAGAACUCCUUUUUUCUGGAUAUUCUGUUUUUCAUUACUUGUUCUGGUUGCUUCUGACUAGCUCUGCAACUUAGGUUUGAAAUCCAGAAGUCAACCAGGAUCAUUUGGCACUGGUUGAACUUUAAGAUGUUAAUAAACCUCAAUUAAUCCCUACAUACAUGAGAGGGAGAGGAAAAUAUUAGUAACAUGCAUGCAUACAUAUAGCUGUUUGACAGGAAAAUGCGUACUAAUAACAUCUUCAUGUAUAAAUUCAACAGGGAUGUGAUGCUUCUAUAUUAUUGGAUGACACUGCAAACUUUACUGGAGAGAAGACAGCAGGACCAAAUAAUAACUCUUUGAGAGGAUAUGAUGUGAUCGACACCAUUAAAUCUCAAAUGGAAAGCUUGUGCCCUGGAGUUGUUUCUUGUGCAGAUAUUGUAGCUGUGGCAGCUCGUGACUCUGUUGUUGCUGUAAGAGACUAACGUCCUUCACAACUACCAUAUAUAUAGCCAUUAAUCAUAACCUUGCAGUUUAUAAUGGGGUUCAGAGAUAUAAUAAUCCAUCUUUCCUAUUCUACAAACAUCAUUAUUUUAGACUAUUUCUGGCCAGGUUUCAUUAACCACCAUAGAACCCUCAUCAUGGCCAAACUUUUAAUUAACAUGGGUGCACGAUAAAACAUAGCUCCGUAUACCGGUGUUCUGCUGAACUACGAUAAAAAUCAUCCCAAAAAAUCAUGAUGGUUCUAUUAAAGAUUAAUGGGCUAAGACACUUCAAAUAAUUAGUUAAUUAACUAAAUAUUGUUGUUGAUUGAUUACGGGUUUUUUUCAGUUGGGUGGCCCAACAUGGACUGUGCAAAUGGGCAGAAGAGAUUCAACCACGGCGAGCUUAAGUACUGCUAACGCUGACCUCCCUGCCCCGACCUCAGAUCUUGAUGUUCUUACAUCUCUCUUCUCCAACAAGGGCUUCACUACCCAGGAAAUGGUGGCUCUCUCAGGUAUACUAUGGCAUUUGGUAGCAGAAAUAAGUAGAAAAUUGAUAAAAAUAGUUUUUUUUUUAAAUAUAAGAAAAUGAUAUCGUACUUCAAGAGUGGUUUUCAUUUCUGUUGCCAAAUGGGCCCCAUAUAUACAUCAUUGUAUUUAUUAUGCAAAAUUCCUCAUAAUUUGUUAUAUGUGGUUUUUUUUUUAAUUAUUAUUAUUAUUUUUGCCUUUUAGGAACUCAUACCAUAGGUAAAGCACAAUGCAUAAAAUUUCGGUAUCGAAUUUACAACGAGACCAACGUCGAUGCUGCAUUUGCAAAAUCAAAACAGAAAAUCUGCCCAUGGACAGGCGGGGAUGAGAAUCUGUCUGAUCUGGAUGAAACGACUACUGUUUUCGAUACUGUUUAUUUCAAGGAUUUGAUAGAGAAGAAGGGUCUGUUGCACUCAGACCAACAACUUUACAAUGGUAACUCCACAGAUUCCAUGGUCGAAACCUACAGCACCGACUCUACCACUUUCUUUACCGAUGUGGCCAACGCCAUGGUUAAAAUGGGAAACUUGAGUCCCCUGACCGGCACUGAUGGAGAGAUCAGGACAAACUGCAGGAAAAUCAAUGGAUAAAUUUAAAUGUCUUUAAAGUUGUACUUCAGUUAAUAUUUGGGAGUAGCUUAUCACAAAGUGAUUUGCGACAUAUAUCUUGUUUACGGUAUUUGUAUUUGCUCAUCAACUUAAAUGUUUAUCUCAAAUAAAGUUUUUAGUUGGUUUUGGAUCUACUACAAAAAUUAAAUUUCUUUACAUGCGACAUACUUUGUGCACCAUAAAUUUGAAUGAUUUAAAUUAUUUUCGUACUCAUUUGAUUAAAACUAAAUUAUAAGAAAAUUUCACAAAAGACUUUGCAAGAAAAGGUCAUAAAUCAUAGCCAAGCAAAUAAGCAGGCCUUCACAGGGAUUGGAUGGACAGUUGGCAGUCAUAUGUGUAUAUAUAUAUAUAUAUAUACACAUAUAUGUCUCUUAUGAUAAUAAUAGUACGAAUAAGAUUGAUGGUGACAGUGUGAAAGCUUUGUCUUUUAUCUGCCCAAUAAACCCUAGUGAAUAAUGCAACCUAAUGUUGUAUCUAGGUUUUGCUAACAAAACUAUGCAAGCUCAACGGACCCACUACAUUUGGUGUAUCGUGCAGCAUACUGUUCUGGGCCUCUGUCUUCUUAAUUGGGCGUCUCCUGUAAAUUUAUUAUUUUUUGAAAUUCAUUCAGUAAGAGCUAAGUUUUAUAUAUAAUUUGACAUAUUUUAUUUUUAAUUUGACUUCACUCUCUGAAAAUUAAUAUUCCUAAAGUUCGAUAAAAUGGAAUGACAGUCAAGAUUAGAAUGGGGGAGGAUGAGAAAAUGACAAAGUAAUGCUUCUAUUUUUAUUUCUUUAGAAGAAAAAUUACAUUACACUUCUGUAGCUUAUAUGUUUAAGUAGUUGUUGAUGCCUAUAACUAACUUGAGGGACUAGUUUUAACAGAAGUGAUCAGUUGAAAUUGGAAACUAACUCAACUGAGUUCACUAACAGCCCUCCUCAAACUUAGGGUGGACUUGGGUUGACACUCAGUUUGGCACGCAUGGUGAGGAAUCUAGAGUUAGGAAUUGCCUUGGUGAAGACAUUUGGUAACUGAUUAGAGAAACGAACAUGAUGGAUGUGGAUUUGUUUCUGAAGAACUUUUUCUCAAACAAAAUAAAGAUCAAUUUUGAUAUGCUUAGUAUGAGCAUGAAGAACAAGAUUAACUUAGAGGUAUACUGUGUUGAGUUGUCACACUAGAUGAUCGGAGUUCUGGAUGAAGAUAUGUUCAAUUCUUUGAGGAAAGAUUGCAACCAAGAAAUUUCAGCAACUAAGGUAGCUACACUCCGAUAUUCCACCUCAAUGGAAGAUUUAGAGAUUGUAUGUUGCUUUCGGGAGUGCUAGGAAACCAAGUUUUGACCAAAAAAGAGGCAGUAUCCUGAUGUGAAGUGGUGAUCAUCAACAUUUGAGGCCCAAUCAACAUCAUAGAAUGCUGUUAAGUUGAGGUGUGAGCUGGAGCAAUAUUGGAGAUGGAGUCCAUGCUGAAGAGUACCAACUAGAUAGUGUAGGAUUCUCUUCAUAGCUUUCCAAUGAGUAGUAAGAGGAGCUUGCAUGAAGUGGCAAACUCGGUUGACACUAUAGGUGAUAUCUAGACAUGUGAUGGUGGCAUAUUAGAGGGCACCAACAAUGCUUUUAUAGAGUUGAGUGUUGCUGAAUGGAGCACUUCCAAAGUUAGAUAGGGACUAGUUAGAUACCAUAGGUGUGGGAAUUGGCUUGACAUGAAGCAUAUUGGUUUUUUAAAGUAGAUUGGAGAUAUACUUGGCCUGUGACAAGUGCAUUCUAGUACAUGUAUGCUUGACUUGGAUAUCUAGAAAGUAAUCAAUAUCUCAAAGAUCCUUGAGGGCAAAUUGGUUGUUAAGCUAAGUGAUCACAUGUUGAACAAACUGAUCAUUGUUGCGUAUGAUAAGAAUAUCAUCCACAUUUACUAGAGUGUAAGUGGAGUGAGUAGGUGUGAUGUUGAUAAAUAGGGAUUGAUCGAAUUUAGUUGAUGAGAAACCAAGAGUGUCAAGUGCUUGUUGUAGCUUUUUGAACCAAGCUUUAGGGGCCUAUUUGAGGCCAUAAAGAUAUUCAUUUAGCUUGCAGACAUAGUUCGGGUUAAGAGGGUCGAUAAAGCCUUCAAGUUGAUGCAUGAAUAUUUCUUCAUGAAGGUUGCCAUUGAGAAAUGUGUUAUUAACAUCUAGUUGUCAAACUUUCCAUUGAGAAAGACAGUGGUGAGAACAAUGCGAAUGGUAGUCGAUUUGACAAUCAGACUAAAGGUUUCCUUAAAGUCAAGUCUAGCUAUUUGAUGAAAGCCCUUGUCAACUAAACAGCCUUUGUAUUUGUUUAUAGUUCCAUUGGGAUUCUCCUUGACUUUGAACACCGAUUUGCAGCCGAUCAAUUUGCGAUUAAUGGGGGGGGGGGCAAGAUUCCAAGUAUUGUUUCAAAGGAGAGCAAGAUAUUCAUCAGCCAUGGUCUGUUUCUAAUGGCUAAGUUAGAGAACUUCAAGGAUUGAAGUGGGAAUGGUAGAAAUAAGAUAAGCCUUUGGUUUAAAAAUGUCAUUCUUGGAUCGAGUGAUCAUAGGAUGGGUAGGAAAAGGAGAGAAAGUGAUGCUACAUUUUGGUUAGAGGUGGCAGGAGGUAUUGGUGGGUUGGUUGGAGAAGAGGUUGAAGAAAGGAGAAUCAUUAGUGGAAAAGAGGUUUGACAAGGAAUGGAAGUGGAUGAAGAGCUGAAAGAAGAAGUUACCUGUUCUUUGGACUGCAAUUUAGCAAAUAAGAAGGUAUGUUCAUCAAAGAUAACAUCACGGGAUAUCAAUAUGUUACCAUAAGAGAAGCUUAAACUGAGCCAACCAGUUGAGAAUCGAUCAAAUCAAUUGCUUUUUCUUGAUCAAGGACCAAUCAAGUGUGCAAAAAAAUUCUCUUUUUUCUAGGAAGUUUUCAUACCUGAUUUAGGCUACAUUUUUCCUAAUUGAGGUAUAGUCGAGGCCCAGUCGAAUUUAAACAAAGACUAAUGAUCACCUACUAUGCAUUUAUUAUCCAAUGACUAGUGAACCAAUCAAAUUGGAGCUCGACCAAUCAAGGCUUAUUUAUGUUUUUUUAGGUGUCCAACGUUAAAAACUUAUAAAUAGAAAACUCGUAUGCAUUUAUUAAUAAGAGAACACUUACAUUGGAUUGUCCAUCUACCAUUUUCUCUCUUUCAAAGCUCUUAUUCAUUUCUGUAUUAAUCUUUCACUUACAAAUCAUUCUUAGUGCACCCUUUGUAUUCAUCCUCCAUUUUUCUGUACUUAUUCAUUUAUUGAGCCAGGAUUAAGUAAAGUUAAAACCUAAAUUUCCUUUAGAAAUGUUGAGUGUUAAAGCUUCAAGUUAAGAUUAAACUUGAAGAGCUUAGUUGUACGUGCCCAUUAGAAGCAUUGAAUCCAAGUCAUGUAAGAGUUGAAGCUUGGGUUAGAAGCCUUGAUCUAGUAGAACUCUUGAAAGGAAAUUGAAAAGAGUGGACAUAAGUAAAAAUUAUCAAACCAUUAUAAAAAUCAAGUUUAGAUUUUUUUAUCUCUAUCUCUUUACAUUCAUUUAGUGCGCUAAUUGAAAAAAUUUUAAAUUCCAAUUCCCUCCUCAAUGUUGUGUUUGACUCAAUUGACCAUGUUUUACAAAUCUCUUAAACCGAUUAAAUGUAAUAGUUAAUUUUGGUUUUCAUUUCUUCAAUCAAAAACACAUAUCCAUCUUUUAGAUUCGACUAUUAGAUUUGUUAACAAUAAAGAUUAAACUAAAUUAGAAACCAAUUAAAUGUAAUAGUUAAUUUUAGUUUUCAUUUCUUCAAUCAAAAACUCAUAUCCAUCUUUUAGAUUCAACUAUUAGAUUUGUUAACAAUAAAGAUUAAACUAAAUUAGAAACCAAUUAAAUGUAACAACUAAUUUUGGUUUUCAUUUCUUCAAUCAAAAACUCAUAUCCAUCUUUUAGAUUCGACUAUUAGAUUUGUUAACAAUAAAGAUUAAACUAAAUUAGACAAUAAUCCCCAAGAAUCACUAAUACCUAGUAAGAAUCCUCCAUACCUUAUUUGAGGUAAACUAACAAAGAGGAUUUAUUCCUAUCAAUUUAAAGUUGAAAACACAAUUAAAUUAUUUCAUACACUAUUGUUUUUUAUGACACUGCCUUUGGAUUCUUCACUUUCAUGUUAACAUCUUUGGAUCACACCAAGUUAGCCAAACAUCGUGGAUGAUUUUUCCUUGAAACCCAUGUUUGAUUGCCCAGAAAAUAAAAUAAAAAGAAUUAAAAAAUAAAACUUUUAUUCAAUAUAAUUUUAAAAGAAGUGAUCAAUCUCUCUCCUUACUUCCCGCAUCGCAAAAACCUUAAAACAAAGUAUAUAUAUAUAUAUAUAUAUAUAUUAUUUAACUUAUAAAUAAUCUCUUGUAAAAGUGUUUAUAACUCACCAUAACUAAAUAUGAAUCUCAUUUGACUAACCAAAAUAGCACAAAAGGAUUUUUUUAAAAGAAAACAAUGAAGAAAUUGGGGUAUCAAUGCCUCGGGUACUUGAGCUAUGAUUCACUGUAUUGUCUAACUAGAGCCAAGAUUUUAUGACAACCCAAAACUCGGAUCGGACAAUUGGGUAGGUGUAUCGUGUAUGCAGCCCCAUAGCCAAUUCAUUCUUUAUUUAGGUUUGUUUUACAAGGCAUGACACAUAGCAAGCAAGAAAAUCAAACCCCUACGAUUUGUCAGUCAUCACAUGCCCUCUCAUGUAGGGUUGAAAAUUGAAUCCGCCUAUUAUGUGUGAAACUGGACCUCGCAUGUGCUUUUAAUGCUGCCUCGAUGAUUUUUUUAGCAUUACGAAUUCAACAACUAACUCAAUUUUUAAUUACAUUUUGCGCAUUGACCUUCUUGUUUGCGUUACGGUACCAGUUUAUACUCCCUUGGUAGAUGUUCUGAAGUUUCAUGUCAUGUAGAUGAGGAUCAGACAUUGUUCACCUUCCUCAAAAUGUAUUGACGUACUAUGAUAUUAUAAAAUCCAUUAAUUAUUUUUUAAAGAAGGCAAAUUAUAUCAUUUUUAUCACUUAUAUGUCAAUUUUAUUGAAACUUCGUAAAUUUUAGAUUGUGUUCGGUUCCAAAAAGUGUUAAGAAGAGAAAAAAUAAUAAUUUUAUCAUGUUUGAUUAUCCUAUAUAAAAUAAAAAAUAUAUAAUUAAAAUUUUAAAUAUUUUCAAAUUAUUUAAAUUUUAUAUUAGAAAGUUAAAAUAAGUUAAAUGAUUUAAAAUAGGCUUUUAUUUUUAUUUUUAUUUUAUUUUUUCUUUUAUUUUUCUUUUUAUUUUCUUUUCCUCGUAUUUUUUGAACCAAACAUAAUUUAAUGUAAUGACAUACAUAUUAGUAACUUGAAUGGGAGAAUUAAGAAGCCAAAGGGUUAAGGAUGUGAAUGCAACUAAGCCGAUUUAAAUUGCAGCAUCAGUCAAAGAAUUAAGUUGUUAAUUAAAUUUUUGAUAACUCGUCAAUUGCUUCCUAAAUGCGAAACCUAUGUCUUACAAUAAAAUUUACCUUACUUAAUACUAUAAUAAUAUGAUCAUCAUUUCCAGGAAAAAAUAAUUAUAUAUAUAUAUAUAUAUAUAUAUGUUCUGAAAUGUUCCUGGCAGGGGACAUCACCCUUACCCCCAAGUUGCUGUUUUAUAUAUGGAGCUUUAAAAUAUUCAUCAUGUUUUAGUGUUUGAAAUGCACAUUAAUCACAAUUUGGUCACGAGAUACGAGUUUAAUUAAUUGAAAAUUUGGGAUGGGAAUGAGCAUUUGGGUUUCAUCAAUACUUGAGUCAAAUUAGUAUCAUGGCUCCCGCUACAUGCCCUUGUAUCAGUCGCCACCUGCUGCUGAUCCAGGAUGAUGAAAAAAUUCUAUGGAUGUGACGAGAAUAUUUUGAAGUGUUUUCUUGCAUGAAAUGAUGUCAAUGCGCCAUUGGAAGGCAAUGAACAUGUGGUACAAAUUAGCAACACAUCAAGAAUUCAAUGUCCGUACAAAUCGACUUUAGACUUUAAAAAGAAGAAUAAGGAAGAGAAAGAUGAUUGAUAUUCAUUUCAAACAGCUGGUUGAUUAUUGCUUUUUGAAUACUAAUGAACAUAAAAGCCCAUAAUGUUGCAAAUAUUUACCAUCUACGUCAUUGUGAGUAAUCGGGGUGACCACUAGCAAUACUCUAUAGAUGAUUAAUUCAUUAAUUAAUUAGGAAUACUGUCAUCAUGAUCAGGCAACUUGAUUAUGUCACCAUAAAAAAUGGAAGAUUUUUUAUUCUCGAUCUAAUGUUCCAUGAAAGGAGAAAACCCAAGGAGAGAGUUCUUCAUAGAACAAGUUAGCAAACUGGGAUUCCAUCUGUACUCAUCUGCUUCAAGCUAGACAUGGGAGUUUACUCAACAUUUCCAUUAUUAUUUUGCAUCACCUCACAUGGGUUAACUAAGAUUUGCGCAGAUGUAAAACUUUGGUCAAUGAAUCCCCAACUCAGAAGGUGUAUUCAACUUUGAGUUAGUUUUUGUGCAACUUGGUGGAAUAUAUUUUUAAGGGAACAAUGCUUCUCACUAACUACAAAUUAUUUGGACAUAUAAAACAAAGAGUUGCCUGACCCUAUUCAUGAGUUUAUUAUUUAUAUUCUUUUUCAUUUUAGGCAUGCGAAUGGAUUUAAGAUGGCGUGUCGCCGACAACAAGGCUACUGCUUAAUGGUGAGCCCCUACUGCUAUGAUUCGAUUCAAUUUUAAAUGUGAAUACAACUCAACAGGAACUUAGCAAGGGAGCAAGCCACUUAAGACUUGAAUUGCUCUAAGACCUCCACUUAGUACAAAUAGAGCUCACACCCUCACCUAUUUUCUCCGUCUCGUUGUACUAAAUUAAGUGCAAUCUGCAGAUCAUACCCAAUCUUCCAAGUCCUUUCCUACAAUAUGCGUUACCCGUACUAUUCUCCCCCUCCACCACCUUCACCACCACCACCACCUCCUCCACCGCCGCCGCCGCCUCCAUGCAACCCAGUCACGCCACCACCGCCACCUCCUCCACCUCCACCUCCACCUCCACCCGCAUGUAACCAUGGCAUGCCGCAAUCCCCACCCCCACCCCCACCCCAACAUCCAAUGCCACCAUGUAAGUGUGGGUACCAGCCCCCUACACCAACCACAACACCAACACCAGCGCCAGCUCCUUAUACUGCUUCACCUCCACUAUCACCACCGAAUGGAAUACCACCAGGUGCACAGCCACCGAAGGGAAAACCACCAGGAGCACAGCCACCAAACGGAAAACCACCAGGUGCACAGCCACCGAAGGGAAAACCACCAGGCGCACAGCCACCAAAUGGAAAGCCACCAGGUGCACAGCCACCAAAGGGAAAACCACCAGGCGCACAGCCACCAAAUGGAAAACCACCAGGUGCACAGCCGCCAAAUGGAAAGCCACCAGGUGCACAGCCACCAAAUGGGAAGCCACCUGGUGCACAGCCACCAAAAGGAACACCACCAGGUGCACAACCACCAGUUGCAAAACCACCUUCUCAUUAUGGUUAUCCCCCUUACGGUUCCCCUCCAAUUUAUGCCUCGCCUCCUUACGCUGCACCCCCAACUAAUGGCUCAAUCACACCAACACCACCAGUCCUGUCUCCGCCACCUUCCGGAGGCCACCACACCACCAUUAUUGCGGUGUGCGUCUCGUUGGGUGGCCUCUUCUUCCUCGCGUUCCUCGCAGCUGGUCUCUUCUGCUUAGCUAAGAAGAAGAAAAAGCCGGUGAUGGUUCCAGCAGUACCCCCACCCCUCUGUGUUGAAGAACACGAACAAAUCCAGGAGACAAUCACCACAGGGGCUUAUGGGGAGCAAACAGUUACAGGAUCAGUUGAGGACGAUGCCCAAAUUCAUCAAGCCGGAGGUCCUUCUGGUGGCCCACCUGGGGUCGCCGGAGCUUCCUCUCAUGCUCCAGCCCAACAGCAUUGCUAAUGCUAGUACAUCCUUUCCCCUUCAAACCAAAAUCAAGUUGCCAGCAUGCAUAUUGGUUCGAUUUCAAUUUACAGUUUGUUACACUAGUGAUCAGUAAUAAACCAAGUUGCCAGCACGCAUGAACCCAUAUUGGUGUGAUUUCAAUCUGCAGUUCGUCACACUAGUGAUUUCACUGAUUUGUAAUAAGUUCCGCGAAUUGGGGCUUCCAUGAUUGUUUGUAUUGUAUUGUGCAUAUGAAUUGGGGCUUAUAUAAUUGUUUGUAUUACAUUGAGAUAUAUUCAUGGUGUGUGGAUUUAAGUAGCAGAAAGAGGGCAUCCUUGGACCUACCUGUGCUCCAUGUGCUCCAUGCGUCAUUGUUGUCAUACUGGUAUUAAACAAAGUUUAUAUUUAGUAACAAAAAAAGCAAUAGGGUUCAUAUGCCUGAGAAGUGGAUAUAAUGAUAGAUGCACUUGACUUUAUUGUUUAAUAAGACUAAAAGACAAUAGGAUAGCCGAUAGGAGCAGGUAGAGUGCUAGAAAAAUGGGAAGGAGGUUCUGACAAGAUUGCUGAUGAAGGCGAUGUCCAGUGGACCUUAAUGGGUUUGGUAACUGUCAUGCUACAAUACUUUGACUAGCUAAUUCUAAUUAAUUUAUUCUAGCUUCGCGUUUAAGGAAUCAAGACAUUGUUUGGGCUGCGACAGAAAGGCGGAGGUUCUCUGCAACCGUAUCUGCAUCGAAGUUAUAUCACUUGGAAACGUGGCUGGAGACUGUUGGGUAAGCUCUGAUGCAUGUGGUUUGGCAGGCAUGGAUGUAACUUAUUUGAAAGAUAUGUGUCACAUGGAAUAAUUGUGGGAGCGUUGUUGACAAGUCAUAUUGCCACCAUGAUUACAGCUGCGAGUCUAAGGCUCUAAGCCGCCGGCAGGAAACAUCUCCCUUCUGUUUUUCUCCCACUUUUUCCCUUCUUUUUAUCUGUUUUGUCUGUUUCGCUUUUACACUAUUUCUGGUGUCAACAUUCCAGGCACGUAAAGAUUCUCCGGUGGGCCAAGUUAGGGUUAGCGAAAAGUUUAAAAUGAAGGAUUUUUGAAAGGGAAAACGAAAUUUAAUCCAAGGCAAUAAAUUUUAUAUACUAUAAGAUAAAUAUAAUCUGGAACGCUAACUAAUUGUUAAAAAACGACUUAAUAUGACAGCGUUUUCACAUUGUCACCAUUUUUUUAAGCCCAUUAAUGCUCAUAAAGGUCUAAAGAGUGUGCGUCAAUUGUCAUUAGAUGGCCAUCAAUUAAAUAAAUUAUCUUCGUGAACUUUUUUAUUUUAGAGAACGUGGAAGGGCCAAGAAAGUACAUACCCUUUUCCUAUAAAUAAAUUUACAACUUUAGUUAGUGAGUUGAGUUGGCAUGAGUCGCAUGACAUCGGCUAACAGAUAAGAACAGUCUUUAAUAUUGCAAUUUGUGAGCCAAGUUGUAAUGAUGAUGAUAGGUCUGGCUAGUGUUAGAGAAUGAUUAUCUGAGGGAGUGCCUGUCGCCCAUCCAAGGAAUUGACAAGAGUUAUAAGAAUUAGAAGCAGAAGGAACCCUAAUCCCAGCGCAUAGAUCUGGGUUGGGUCGCCCUUCAAAGUGCUGCAGCUGGGCUCUGUUAUCAUCCGGUUGGGCCUACUUUCAAAAGAUAGACAGGCCCGUCUCAAUCAAGAAAAAACUGGUGGAUGGAUUUGCAAUGGGCACCUUUGAAGUUUCCAAUUGCGUGCUAUGCACGACUAAAGUGGGUUUCUUUCCGGUCUUGAGAUGAAGGAAUUCCAAUAAAAUAUGGACAAUAAGGUAAGAUGGGGGAGUGCAAAAUGUGAAAGUAGCUCAUAAUUCAAGGUAUUGAUAUAAGAAGUGAGAAUAUAAAAUAAUAUUUUUUAUUUAUGGAUAUAGAUAUAAUUAAUCAAAUCACGCCAAAGCCUUAAAUAUUUUAUAUUGUUCCUAUUGUUCUUUUCCUUUAAGUUUUGCGCUUGGUAUUGUGACAGGUAUCAAACCCUUUGUCAAAUAUUUUUAGAACCAAAGGUAACACAAAAGAUUAUAAAAUGAAUUUUAAUUAAAAGUAAAAUCAAUUAUUCUCUCAUUAGGAAAUGAUAUAAAAAACAAGGGAAUCAUGAGCUGGCAAUAUCAUGCAAGAAAACUCUAACACACACUAUGCGUAAUAGUAUAUAUUAUCAAAACAUGAAAGAUUAACUAAAUAAAAUUUGACUUAAGAUGGAGAUUGAUAAAAAAAUGUUUAAAAUUUUUAUGUAGCAUAUAUAUAUUUCUUUUUUAUAUUUUAAAUAUUAAUUAAGAAUUUAAGAUAUUUUUCAAUAUUAAAAUCCAUGAGGAAAUGGUCACAUUAAGAGAGAGGCCGAAGUCAUCAACCAAGCAAAAUGAUGGGCAAUUAAGGUUAGGGUUGCAAUGAAACUUCGGAAAUUAAAUUUUAAGGUUGCGAUGAAGCUUGAUAUGGAUUGUUUUGUUAGUCCAUACAAGUUAAAAGUUUAAUUAAGUUAUGCAAUACUAUAACUUAAAAGCUUAAUUAAGUUAUGCAAUAGUGGACCAAUAUUGUACUAAGCACUUAUUUGGGUUACAUUUUAUGGGGAUUAUUGACAAGAGUAUGGUAAUUUAAAAAAAAAAAAAAUUUCAAAUCUAUUGUAAUUUUUGUUAUUUUCUUUUAAAAUCGUCUAUUCAAAAAUUGAUUUAUAUACCAAAAAAAUCGUCUCUUGAAGAUAUGAUUUUCUAAAAUUCAUUUUUAAAAAAAUUUACAUACUAAAAUUAUCUCUUAAAGAUACGAUUUCUUAAAAAAUAAAAUAAAAUUGUCUCUUCAAAAUACGAUUUUUUAAUUAAUUUUAUUUAUCAAUUUUAAUAUAUAAAAAAAUUAUGAUUAUUGAGAUAUUUAUCAACAAUAAUAUUUAUAAAAUAUAAAUUAUGUUUAAUAUUUAAAUAUUGAUUUAAAAAAUAUUUUCUUCUUAAUGUUCAAAAAUUUUAAAUUAAUUCAAUUAAUUAUAACUAAUAAAAUUAAUUUACUUUGAUAUUGUUUUUUAUUUAUAAGAUAAUAAUAUUUAUCUAAUAUUUUUUGUUUCUUUUGCUUUGUAAUUUAAAAACAUUAUUAUCAAUUUUAUGUGAAAAAUGCGUUUAUAAAAAACAAAUUUGUUCUUAAAUUAUUAAAUAAUUAUUUACAAAAUAAAUAAUUUUUUAUUUUAAUUUUGAAAUUAAUUUUAUUAUACAAAUUUUAAAAUAAAAAUAUUAAUAUUUAAUUUAAAAUUUUAACUGUAGAAGGAAUAAAAUAUACAAAAAUAAAUUAAUUUUCAAUAAAAUUUUCAGCAUUAAAAGAUAUAAUUUUUUAAGUAUUAAUCAAUUUAAAAAGAAAUAAUAAUCAUUUGUCUAUUAAAAUAUUUUAUUUAGUAAUUAUAAAUGAUAAACAACUAAAGUAAUUUGAAAAUUUAAUAAAAUAUUUCUUUAAAAAUAAUUUAAUACAUUUAAAAUUAGAAAUGAUUAACUAUUUUUUAUUAAGAAAAAUUGAGGAAAUAUUUUGUUAUAUCAAAUUUUUUUAUCUGUUUUCAAUUUUUAAUGUUAUAAGUUUCAAAAAAAUUGAUCAAAUAAAAAAUAAUAAAUAAAAAUUAAGAAAUUAUUUUUACAAAAACUAUAUAUCCAAAUAAAAGCCUUGAAAUUCAAAUACACAAUAUCAUAAAUAUAAACACCAAGUCAAUCCUUAAUUAUCAAAAGUUUUCAAUAUUAAAGAAUCUAAGUCACCUACUAUCAUGAUUGUAAGAAAACCAAUAAUAUUGUUCAUGUAAAUACUAAAAAACUAAUAAAUAUCCCAACAAUUAAUAAAGUAUCAAUCAUGAUAAAAAAAAUUAUUUAUUAUUAUGAAUGCAAAAUUUUAUAUUCAAGAGACGAUUUUAGUAUGUAAUUUUUUUUUAAAAUUCAUGUCUUUAAAAGACGAUUUUUUUUAUACCUAUAUAUAUAUAUAUAUAUAUAUAUAAAUCGUUUUCAAAUAGAUGAUUUUAAAAGGAAAUAAUGUUCUCUCUUCUAUUUGGCAAAAAUUAUGGUAGAUUUGAAAUUAUUUUUUUUUGCAACGGUGGAUUAGGAAUUAUUUUUUUAAACUGUCGUACUCUUAUUAAAAAUCUCAUGUUAGGGUCGUAGCCUAAGUAUUUUGAUAUAUAAUGGUGGUCAAGUUGACUUUGUAUGUGAAUAAAUGGCUAUGCGAAUUUCCAAAAAAUCAAAGGAUAUUUGUUUUUGGUUUUCCUUUUUUUUUUUUUUGUUGAAAACAAUUUGAUGUUACACAUUGAGUUGUUUAUUUUUCUAAUUUUUUUUAUAAAUUAUUAUAAUUUUUUAUUGAAUACAAAAAUUAGAAUAUUUAAAAAAUUUAAAUAAAAAAAUAAUAUAUUGAUUUUUUUUAAUUUUUAAUAUUUAAUAAAAAUAAAAUAUUAAAAAAUUUAAAAAAUUAAUACUUAAUACUAUUAAACACUAUUUAAUUUUAAAUUAUAUUUAAAAUUAAGUAAAAAAUCAAAUACCACUUGAAUUGAUUUCAACUUCUACUAUUCCAUCAUAACUUUUGGGGGAUAUUGGCGUAUGCAUCUUCUCUCAAAUGGGUGUCCAAGCUCCGUUCAACAUACAGUUGAAAGAUUAUCAAUUUCGGGUGCAGACAUAUCCUUUUUAGUUAUCUCCGAUGGUGAGACUUGAGGAGGAAAAACAAAACACAAGGUCAUUUUGAAACUGUACUCUUCAGCCUUGGACAUUAAGAAGAUAAUCAAAGAUUGCAAAGCAGAAUACGAGGAGGGAGGGUUGUGGUUUGGUACGUAUUUGUGCAGCUUCUAAUUUGGUCUGUCACAUUGAGGUAAAAGUGAUGGCCCCCCAGUCCAUAGCAAACAGAUAAGAGUUUAUCAUUGAAUUUGCUAGGUUGAGAAGGAUUCAUCGUUUCAAUAUAAUGCCAAUUAUUGAUUGUUUCCCCGAUAUUCCAGACAUGCUCUUGUUUUCAUUUCCAGGAUCAAUGCAUCUCUUUAGAGGCACUAUCCUUAAGAAAUAGCAAUGUUCCUCCAAGCUGGCAGAAAAUCCAAGGGGUAUAUGCUAGCUGUUUCUGAAUUUUUGCAGCUGGAAAGUGACUGUAGAGAAUGCACAAACUCAUAAUGACACUAUUCCUUCUCAUCCCCGAUUUCCAAAUGGUCCACCCAAGAAACAUGUGGCCAUCAAACGGGGAAUUACAUGAUGAGAAAUUGAAGAGAAGAGUUAAAGAAAAAAAAAAAGCUAACCAAAAGGAGAAAAAAGAGAAAAAAAGAAAAAGAAAGAUCCAUACCCCUCAAUGAGUUUCAAGAAAAGGGGAUGUGUACUAAGCAAUUAAUGCACUGAAGCACGAACCAUGGCAGUCCUUCAACGACAACACAAGUUAAUAGCAUGUUUGGUCCCAGCAACCUUCUGGAAAUGGAUCCCUCCCACCAAAUCUUGAUAAUCAAAAUAAAAUAGGUUAUUGUCCUCGACUGCUUUGCAUGCCCAAUCAAUUUUGUUUUCGAUUACCAGUAUAGUUCUCUCAUAAACAUUUCAAUUUUGUCAUUGACUUGUUCCUAUUUAGCAUUUGGUGAUGGCCAAACGUGCAUAACGUACACACAAUCCUAAUCUAAAGAAAAAGUAUUAAUUCUGUUCAAGAAACCUAAUCAGGGAGAGCAUAACCUUGUUUGAAACCUUGCACAAACAACAUUGUCGACUGGUGGUUUAGGCCCGGAUGCUUCUGAAAGCAUUAUGGAUAGGUUCCGAGAGUUGCGGUUUGUGCCUACAUAAAGCAUUAUGCAUAGGUGGACCUCGGGAAUUAGAGAGUUGCCAUGUGUUACGUCAUCAUUACUAGUUUCCCACCCCAAAAUUCCCAAAAAGGUGAAUGCUACGGUAUUAGUUUAAUUAUUGUUAGUAUGUGGUUCAUAUUAGAGUUAAAGACAUAUAUAAAUAAAAAUGGACAAAUAUGGGAGUGAAGACAUUUGUUAUUCAGAUUUGUAUUUCUAUUGUUGUGGAUGAAUGAUAGGUUGGGGGUGCGGGGGGCGAUGUCCCUCGCGGUACGGUUUAGGGGUAUUUUUGGAAUUUCAUUCCAAAUGAUUAAUAUAAAUACCCUUUUAUGUAACCCUAAUUCAAUACAUAGUGAAAGUCCUUUUCCUUGUUCCCGUGGACGUAGGUAAAUUGCCAAAUCACGUUAAAUCUACGUGUUCUUUCUUUCUCAUUUUCCCUAUUUUUCACCAUAAAUCAUUGCACGGAUUACAACAUUAUCUUAUAAUCACCACACUAGUCAUCUAGAAGGUUUUACUACUUUGAAUGGGUGCACAGGAUUUACACAAUAGAAGAAGCCAAAAAAAAAUGGGUCCCCUUCACUAAAGCAUAAUUGGACCCUUGUAAGUCUAACCAUUAAUUUGGAACUGGUGGUGCUGCCCUUUUUUUUGAACUCUUAUAAUGAAGAUAAUGAUUAGAGAGAUCAAUCUUUUAAAUCUCUUAUCUUUAUCGGUGUCAAGUCAACUGGAGUUAGGUUUGUCUAGCUUCACUGAAGUCAAGCAAACUUCUUUCAUUUUUCGUGCUUCUUAAGGAGUCUAUCCAGUUGCACUAGAGUUAGACGAACUUCUUUUUUAUACAAAAUGAUGUCCGGAUUGGUGAUAUGAGCACGCCCCUCCGAAACUUAAAGUCAGAUAAAAAUAGCUUUAGCUAUUUUGUGGGAGAGAAUGAGCAUCGUGCACACAUAUCUUAUUCGUGCUUUUUAAGAGACUUAUAUAGAACUAAUGGCACUACUAUUGUAGUGCUGACUAUGCACUCUAACCUUUCUUAUAAUGAUGAUUGUCCUUAACACGACUGGGCAAUCAUAUCAGAUAAAGGCGCUUGACAGGUGUCAUCCGUUGACGUGCCAAAAUCUUGGACCAUACAAUUGAUUGUCCAUUUAGUCUGCCAAUGUUUGGGAUUGUGUGCAACAAUUAAUUGACAUUAAAUUUUGGGUGUAAUGGGAUCUCGUCUGCCGCUUAAAUAUCGGGUGUCUAGGCUGACACUCAGAGGUUAGAUGCGAUUGAUCAUGCAUACCAAAAAUCCUAAGGACUUGAUUAGACUGAUUUUCCCGUCUGAGAGUCCAACGAGCCCAGGUUGUCGAUUCCGUCUGACCUUGUGGGAGAGGGGAACCCUCUCACUUCUAGUGUCAGACGGAAUUCAUCUUGGUCCGAACGGAAUGAUUCCAAAAGGAUUUCAUGUCUAUCCUGAAUGACUAAGGGUCUUGAACUUGAGAGGGACAGGUGGAGGAAACCGCAAUCUCUACACUUGCGUGUCCAACAAAUUUUCAAUUUUAAUAACGUACAAGACAAUCAAGGAGAUGAAAAAAUUGAUGAAGCGUUUCUCAAACCAAUUUCAGACACAUACGGCAUGUGCAACUAGAUAUUUUAAUCCCAAAAAAUCAUGGCUCCUUUUGUCGUAUUCUUUUGUUUGAUGUAUGCAUAGGAUCGGACCACAUCUAUGUUAUUUUGAUUCCAAAUUUCAAAUAAAGACGAGAUUUCAUUACUAAAUUGUCAAGACCUUUGGGACCCAUAAACCUUUAUUCAAACAAUGAUAAAAGGCAAAUUUUUGUAUUGAUAUGGUUGUUACGAUCGAGGAAGACAACGAGAUUUCAAAGGAUGAGAGAGCACCCCAUGCAUCAAAAUGGCUUCUGGACCCACACUAUUUUAGUUCGUCAGUCAAAUCUCAAUAUAAUAGAGGGGGGACCUAAUGUUGUCGCUAUAAUUGACUCUUAUUUCGACGUCAUGUUUGUGCCUUAAAAUAACCCGGAUUCCUCAUUUACACACUGCGGGGAGGGGGAGAGUGAGAGGGACCUACCAACCAAAAAAUGGCGGCGGAAGUUCAGCUGAGCAGCAACAUGAGGAAAGCUCUCCUGGUUCUGAAUUGUGUGAUUCUCUCAAUUGGAAACUGCGGUGGUCCCUUGGUGAUGCGCCUGUAUUUCGUUCUUGGCGGCGAGAGAAUAUGGUUUUCCAGUUGGUUGGAAACGGUUGGGUGGCCCUUGAUCCUAGUCCCUCUCAUCAUCACUUACAUGCACCGCCGAACCAAGCAAGACUCCCAUGCCAAACUCUUCUUCAUGAAACCUCCUCUGUUCGUGGCCUCCGCUGUUAUCGGUGUCCUCACCGGAUUCGAUGACUACCUCUAUGCCUAUGGCGUAGCAAAACUGCCCGUUUCAACAUCAGCUCUCAUUGUCGCAAGCCAGCUCGCUUUCACAGCAGCCUUCGCGUUCCUCUUGGUGAAACAAAAGUUCACCUCAUACUCCGUAAAUGCCAUAUUUCUGUUGAGUAUCGGUGCCGGUGUCUUGGCUUUACACACUAGCUCCGACCGCCCUACUAAUGAGUCCAACAAAGAAUAUUACCUCGGGUUUGUCAUGACACUUGCAGCUGCAGCGCUCUAUGGUUUCAUUCUCCCCUUGGUUGAAUUAACCUACAAGAAAACAAAGCAGGCAAUAACCUACUCACUGGUCAUGGAGAUUCAAAUGGUGAUGUGCUUCUUCGCCACCGUCUUUUGCACAGUGGGGAUGUUGGUUAAUAAUGACUUUCAGGUGCAUUUCUCUUUUCUCUCCACUCAAUUACCCUAACAUAUUCAACCAGAUAGAAGAUUGAUAAUUUAUGUUUGCUUCUUCCUCAUUUAAUUUUGUAGGCAAUUUCCAGAGAAGCAAAAGAAUACGAGCUUGGAGAAGCUAAAUAUUAUCUGGUGGUGGUAUGGAAUGGGAUCAUAUGGCAGUGUUUCUUCUUAGUAUCAAUAGGAGUCAUCUUUAGCGCUUCAUCUUUGGUAUGCGGUAUUGUGAUUACUGUCCUACUCCCCGUGACAGAGAUCUUGGCUGUUAUUUUCUUCCGAGAAAAAUUUCAAGCAGAGAAGGGGGUUUCACUGGCUCUCUCUCUGUGGGGCUUUGUUUCCUACUUCUACGGCGAGAUAAAGGAUAGCAAGAAAAAGAAGAAUCCCACUUCCGAGACGGAGCUGCCUCAAACGGUCAAUCCAUGACAAACAAAUAUCUUUCUUAUUCCCCGGAAGGCAAGGGACAGGAUUACAUAUAAGCAUUUACCAGGUAAUUUAAAGAAAUACUUCGUCCGUAUGUUAACAGGCAGUUUAGCUGAUUCACCAAAUCUGUGUAAAGGAAAUGCUUGAAUUUCGUUCCUAAAUACAUGCUUGAAUAUUGAAUUUACUUGAAUUCUACAACCGCUGUGAGCGGAACAUGUUGAAAAUGAGAUCAUUUAAUUGUUCUAUAUAAGAUAAUUUCAAGAAUGAGCAAGUCUUGUUUUUUUAGUUUUCAAUUUUAGUGGUUUAUGAAAUCACAGAAAAAAGAUCAUGGGUGUUUUCAAAUUUAGAGUUUUUAUCUACCAUCAACUCAACAACCUCUGAUCCCAAUAACCACUUGCACUCAUUUGGAGGUAGGUGUCAACUACUCUCGUCAACUGCCACAGUAUCAAAUGAACCACAACAACUAUAUUUUCCAUAUUUUGUAGUGGAUGAUAUUGAUAUGAAGCGAAUAAGACGCGAGCUGCGCUCACAGGCUAGGACUUUAAUUGGUGAAGCCUCCCAACUCAUAUAGUCAACUCGCUCGAAAUUCAGUUGUUAAAGUUUUCUAAUAAAUAAAACAGUUAUUUUAAAAUAUAAAAAUUUAAAUUAUAUCAUAAAAUACUAAGGUAAAGAAAUUAGAAAAUACUAAAAUAUCAAUUCCAUAUAUAUCAAGCUUUCGAUUUUGAUCAUUAAAAGUAUAUAAUAAAAUUUAAGCCUGUGAAUAAUGAUUACUACUCAAAAAGUGUUAUUUGAUAGCCUGUAAUUAAUCCUUUUAAACACUUUUGAGUAGUAGUUUAGGCCUUUUAACUCAAUUGGCAUGUUAAGGAUCCUUUAAAGCAAUUUUGAUCACUUUGUGUAAGUUUUGGUGUUUUUGUUAGUAUUUUGAUCACCAAAACAAGUCAAGACUGAGGAGAGCUAUGAGGAAUCUUGGGUAAAGCUUAGAAGUCAUUUUCCAAGAGUGAAUCCGGAUUGCAAGGAGAAAAAGCAAAGAGAAUCUGCCAUAAAGCAUAUUCUUGAUGACAGUCGUAGCAGCCACUUUUAGAGCACUUUAUGAAGUCCAAAUGAUGCAUGCUAUAUACCAUUUUAAAGCUCAGGAAGUCAACAAUCCAAUGCUUCAAACGGUGUGCAAUUCGGAGUUGAAACGAAGAAGUUGCAGCCAUUACAAGCCAAUCACUCCGAGCUGAAGAAAACAUUUUGCAAAGUGCUGCGAAAUCACCCUUUUGUUGCGAAGUGAUUUCGCAGCAUUUUUGUACAGUAAGGUGUUUCUCCUUCUGACGAUGCACGAACCAUGCCGCGAGAAGGGAGCUGGGAACCUCAAGGUGGAAGCCAACUUCGCAGCCAUGUGAAGAUAGCUCGGUGUUGCGAAAUAAUUUCGCAGCCCUCUUGGGUGUCUGCGAAAUUUCGCAGACACCAUAUUUCUCCUGCGAAAUGGUUCCUGAAGCCUCCCGAAGCUUGCUACCGACAUUGGGAGAUAUUUUCCAUUAGAUUUUUGUUGUCUAAAUCCCAAAAUACUCCUUGUAAACCACCAAUUACAUGAUUCCUUAGUUUUUAAGUUAGUAAAAAGACUAAAUAUCUUUGUAACAAUUAGUUUUAUAUUAUGUUGAUAUAUAUACCUCUCGAGAGCCUGUUCUCAGGGAGGAGUUCCUUUUGUAAACCGUUUGGGUAAGCAAGUAAAGGUCUUUUUCUUUCUACUGCCUUACCUUCUCACUUUGUAUUUUCAGUUUAUUUCUAAGUUAUGAAUUCUCUGAGGAGUUUUCCCCAGAGAAUGAGUAACUAAACCUCUAAUUCCUUGGAGCUAAGGUUGCCGGGGAAGGUUCCAAGUGCAAGAAUGCAAAGCUUUGUGGUUUUAGCUAGUAAUGAAGAGGAAGUGAAAUCCUUUAGUGAUUUCUAUGUUUUUAGUUAACUUAAAACACCUUGGAGUUACCUGGGCCAACACUUGGUAAGGCAAGUGAUUUUCAACCAUGGAAAUGCACUAGUUUACCCCUUGCGAGCCUCUGGGAGGUGACUUCAGGGUAGGAUUUUCUAGAAUAGCCAACACUUGGUAAGCUUUUGGACUCCUAGGAGGCAUCCAUUAGUUAUCUCUUGCGAGCUUUUGACGGGUAAUCCAAGGUUAAAGAUCACCUUGAAUGGUUAAGGCUUAGUGAGAGGCUUAAACCAUUGCAAGUUGCAUCAGUGAGAGAAUUAAAGUGAAAUCUAAUUGAAGGAGUCUCUGUACAUCACCGGUUAGAGAAUUGACUAUGUGUUGAAUCUCUAAUGCGAGGAAAUGAACCAUCUGACCAAAGCCGUGUCUUUUGCAUGAGGAACCACCCCAGUGAACCUAAAUCUCUAAGGAAUGCUUUUCUUCCUAAAUUAUUCCAAACUUCUGUUAAGUUAGUUAGUUUAAGUCUCAACUUUUACCAAUCAAAGUUUGUGUUUUACUUCUUAAGCUAACCAUAAAAUGAAACAAGACCAAUUCACUUGGAAUUGGUAUCAUUGAUUGCUUGUUAGUCAUUCCCAGUGAACGACCCUAGAGCCACUAUACUAUAGUAGCUUUUUCUUUGCUACCCUAGUGUAUGGUGUUAUAGGUAAUAAAUUUUGUUGAUCACUUCCUCAAUCAAGGAGCACCAGCUGAACACCAAUCAGCUGAGACACCAAUUGAGCAUGAAUCAAAUAAGAUUACGAAUAUAUGGAUUCAAUAUAUAAACGAGUGGGAUGGAACAUGACUCAAAUGAAUAAGGCAUAAAAAAGACAAAUAAUAAUGAUGCCAGACUAUAUAUGUGAUAAUGAUGAUAGAUUGUAGAUGGAGAUGGAUUUCAUAUAAAAAUAAGGAUUUUAUAUUUAAAAUUCAUUUUUAAAGAAUAAAAUACAUUAAAAAACAGUUAAACAUAAAUCGAAGACUUUUUUACUUUAAAUUUCUCUCAAAAGGAAAUUUUAUAAAUAAAAUAAAUUUAUACGAGUAUUAAUCGACAAAAUUUCAAAUCAACAAUAAUUCUUGCAUUUGUAUCAAACUUUAAAAGAUGUAAGUGAAAUUAAUCCUAUUUUUGGAUUGUUAUUUAUAUCAAAUCUUCCCCAUCUUAAUUCCAACCCAAACCAAACUUGACAUGGAUUGGGUGGAACAACUUUAACAAAACUUCAAGUUGUCAUCUCUAAUGUUAGUUUGGAAUAGAAAAUAAAAAUGAAACAAUUUCAUUCUCCUCUAUUAAUGUAUCCAGACUAUUUAUUACGAUGAAAAUUAGAAUAAAAAGUUCAUUAGUAUAUAAACCAAAUCUGCCUAUGAAUAAAAAAACAGUAGAUAAAUACUCUAAGGUUACUUUGGAAUAGAGAAUAAGAAUGGAAGAAUUUCAUUCUUCUUUAUUAAUGGAUCCAGAUUGUUGUUUACAAUGAGAAUAAGAGAAUUAGAAUAAAAAUUUCGUUAGUAGGUAAACCAAAUCUGCCAAUGAAAAAAAAAGACCACAGAUAAAUCAAAUCUCACUUUUACAAUAAUUUUGAUUCAUUCUUUUGUACAUGAUAGUGUGAUUCACUUUCAUUCUCUUUCUAUUCCACUUUUCUACUUUUCCACCUACCACUCAUCCUAGUCGUAAUGUGAUUAUUGUGUCUCGUAUCUUUGGUAAAGAGAACCAACCGACUAUAUCUCAACAAAGCGUCCAUCAUUUAUGCCAUGCAGCGUACAUCAUGCGAAAGAGCCAAUGAGCGUUUCACAUAUGGUAUAGCAAAACUGCCCAUUUCAACAUCUGCUCUCAUUAUCGCAAGCCAGCUCGCUUUCACAGCAGCCUUUGCAUUCCUCUUGGUGAAACAAAAGUUUACUUCAUACUUCGUAAAUGCCAUAUUUCUUUUGAGUAUCGGUGCUGGUGUCUUGGCUCUACACAAUAGCUCUGACUACCCCGCCAACGAAUCUAACAAAGAAUAUUAUCUCGGGUUUUUCAUGAUACUAGCAGCUGCAACGCUCUAUGGUUUCAUUUUCCCGUUGGUUGAAUUAACCUACAAGAAAGCAAAGCAGGCAAUAACCUACUCACUGGUCAUGGAGAUUCAAAUGGUGAUGUGCUUCUUCGCCACCGUCUUUUGCACAGUGGGGAUUGUUGAUGCCUCGCGUCCCAGGGAUCCACACAGCUGCCAAGUGGACGCGCGCUUUCAACCAAGAAUGAAUUCUGGCUCAGUCGAUCCUGCAAAAGAUGUCCGGACACAUCCUCCGAUGGUUUUGUUAGUCAUGGCUCAAUGGAUCAGGCUGUUGCCCUUUUUUCUGAGUUAGCUGACUUACCUUCUUCUUUGCAUGAAGGUUCUUUUAUAUAGUGUCAGAAGCUCCGCUCCCCUCUUUAAUGGCGGGAAGACUUUUUGGCUUGUCAUGAUGUCCCUGAGGUGAUGGCAGAAUCAUCAUCACCUUCCAAACGGCUGUUAGAAAUCGUGGGAGGUGACUUGUCAUCACUCCUGUCCUUUCGCUCUACAGGCGGCGAAACGUGGGCUAUGACAGGUUGUCUGGGGUGACUCAGCAUGGCUUACUUUUUAUGGUCAAUGAUCCGGACAAUGUAUUCGGAUAGAAUAGAGCACAGUCCGGGUAUAAUAUUUGAGAGUGUCGUGUGUCUCCUUGAGGGACCUGGAUAGAGCUGGCGUGCCAUGUGGACUCUGAGGGGGUCCCUACAAUGCCCCCCUUUUAACCUGGCGAUUUUGUCCUGGCAGAAUGGGUAGGUUAAAAAAAAUGAUGACUUUGAAAGUUUGGUUGUUUUUUGCGUUUAUUGUGCCAUGUGGCGGUGCGGAGGCGAAAAGAAGGAAGAGCAUUUAUGGCGAGCCGCCAUCCUUGGGAAUUCCUAUGCGGCAUGUCGUUUCAAUAGCAGCGUGGCUGGGAGUUUGGAAUACCGAGGGGUUGUCUCCCUUUAAAUAGUAGACCCAGCCCCCACAACUGCAUUUCUUCCUUCUGCAUUUCUGUUGCUAGUGUUUUCGUUUAGGUUCUUUGUGUAUUCUUGCCUGUGAGUGAAGUUCUAGGGCUUUUGCUAGCGACAUUCGCGUCGUGAGGGUGACUGCAUCGCGGCCUUCGUCCUCAUUUGCCAGUUUGCACCAGGUACGUUCUCUAUUUCUACCUUCUCUCCAUUGGGUUUCUUUUUUAUUUUAUCUUGCUUGUUAGGUAGGUUGCUUGCGAUUGAGGGUCGGUGCUGGUGUUUAGGGAUUUUUCCGGGGGGGGGGGGGGGGGGNNNNNNNNNNNNNNNNNNNNNNNNNNNNNNNNNNNNNNNNNNNNNNNNNNNNNNNNNNNNNNNNNNNNNNNNNNNNNNNNNNNNNNNNNNNNNNNNNNNNUUUGGGGUUUUUCCAAGCCACUUUCGGUUGGGGGGGGGGAGUGCUUGGGGCCUUUCUCCUUUUUUUCCCGUUUUCCCCCGGGACCUUUUUUUUUUUCUCCUUUUUCCCCAGGGGUUUUUUUUUUUUUUUUUUUUUCUUUUUUGGGUGGUUGUUUGGGGUUGGGGGGGGGGGGUGGGUUUUUGGGAUUUUUCCGGGGGGGGGGGGGGGGGGGGGUUUGCUUUCGUUUUGGGCCUGUUGGGGUUCCUGUUGCCCCCUAUAGCCUUUGCGGGUGACUGGUCCUACUUUGGGGUAGAGUCAAGGGUUAGGUUGGGGAUGUUGGCUAUUUUAGGCUUUCUGGGCGUUUUUUGCUAUUAGGGUUAUGGGGCCGGGUCCUUCUAUUUUACUGUUGGCAUUUCGCCAUGCAGGUUCCGUUUCGGCCCCAUACUUUAAAAUGCCUGCGAAAAAGGACGUAGCUUCGUCCAGUGCGGUUGGGCCCAGCGGAAAGAAUGCGUCCGGGGUGGUCUAUGCGGAGAAGCCUGUUGACAAGCUGAACGUGAGGCAGUUUUGUGAACGCUUCUGCAUUCCGAACGGCGUAUCCGUUCAGCUUGUGGACGGAGAGGUCGUAUCCACCGAGAAAUCUGUGGACAACGCUAUCUAUUUCUCUAAGGAGCAAUUCAACGCGGGGCUUCGGUUCUUUCUCCCGUCUCUCUUCAAAGAGUUUCUUCACUUCACCAAGAUCCCUCCGGCCUACAUCCAUCCCAACAUAGUCCGGGUGUUGAUGGGGUGCAGCAUUUUGAACAUGUUGUUCAACUUGGAUCUUUUGCUGCUGGGGGUCCAUUUCAUCUACUCCAUCAAGAAGGGGAAAACUGACCUCUUCAACUUGUUUACCCAUAUCCCGUCCCUCCAAUUGGUGACUAAUCUCCCAGAUUCGAUGAAGGGGAGAGCCAAAGGACAUGUACUAGUCAAGGGUGUUUAGGCUGGACUGUCGGAACAUCCGGAGAGAUUGUUUUCCCUAAAUCGUUCACUGGCGCUCCCGGGGUAGGGUAGAUUUUCGAGUUUGUCCGGCGUGCAUUUCUUGUUCUUUUACUUUCGUGUUAUCAGAUGGCUAACUUUUUUGGUUGUGGGCAACGUAGGUAAGUCCAAGAGGGACCGCCUAGUCGAGUGGGUGGAGAAAGCCUCUUUUGAUCGCUUGAACAAGCUGUUCGAGAUUACUGCUACUAAGAGGCAUUAUCAGACGUUGCUCACUACUCGGAACCUGUUGGCAGUUGUCCGGGAGCCUCACCCGUACGUCACCAACAUUCUCCCUAGGCGAUUGCCAAAACGUGUAGUGUCUUGGGAGCAUUUUGUGUUGAAAGAUUUGCCCUUCUACGAGAGGGCUCGCAAGGCUAACACAAAGGCGCGCCAGGAGCGCCUUAACCAGCAAGAGGAGAAGAGGCAGAAGGGGACAUUGAGGAAAGCACCUGGUGAGAAGGGGCGCGACUCUUCCCCAGCCGCCUUCCCCCGGCCACAAAAGAAAAGAAGAAGACGAAGAAGACUCGUGCGCAGGUGCUCUAGAUAGUGGCCCCAACUCUUGAGGCUUCGUCUUCGUCUUGCAGGUCCGAGCCCAAUCAGCCGGACCACACUAUUCCGGAGUCUAAGGAGGUUGAGGAACCUGAGGCCAUCACCAGUUCGCCACAGCUUGAAACCUUCCAUCCGGGGCCUAGCUUUCCCCAGCCGCAGUCGGAGUUUGUUGGCUUGAGGGUCGUGGAUGAGCCAGAGGAAAUGAGAGAUGCAAACGACCUUAGGGCGGGGCUUUUGCAAAGACAUCGACCUUGGCCCCCCCAGUUAAGAAAGUUUGUCCGGAGCAGGGUGGAGAGGACCCGACGCCAGAAUUUUGGCUUCAGCUGUGACUCGUCCAGACGAGGUGGGUAUUAGCGCAACUUCCACGGCUCAGCCGGAUGCCGCAGGGUCUAGCGCGGCGGCAACGGUUCAGGCCAACGCUUCGGGGCCUAGCUCAACGACUGCUGCUCAAUCGAGUACAACUGCCUUCGGCAAUGCCCCGACUGCUGUGGAGACCCAUGCGUCAGAGGGGGUUCCGGAUGCGUCGAACGACGAGAAGGCUUCGGACGAAAAGAGCAGUCCUGCUGUUGCAGUUCCUCCAAGCUAGGAGGAAAUGAUGGAGAUGCUGAAAGGAGUGCCAUGCUUCACGGAUGUAGAGACGCCUUCCACGAGGAUGUCAGACUUCUUCCCUUUGACCAAACGUGUCUCUGUGAACAUGGGUGGGGACCCUCCUGCUUUUGUCAAGGCGCGGCUCCCUUUUGGCGCUCCUGAGUCCAUCGUAUCUUGCAUUCAACACCUAUAGGAAUGGACGAUUCCAGAGACUGUAGAAGUGGUAAAUACUUCUUUGCUGUUUUUCUCUUCUUUCUUAGCAGUUGCUACUUUUCCAUGUAACAUUGUCUGUUGUUUUGUUGUUGCUUUGCCCAUGUUGUAGCCGGCAUCCACUACAUGAUGUGCACACGCGAGCAGCUUUUCAAGCGGCUGGAAUUGGUGGAGGCCAUGCAUGCCUUUAUCUCCCAACAUCCGGGUGGCAUCGAGGAGCUGCGCGCCAAGUUGGAGAAGGUGGAGGCCGAAUUGGCCGCUGCUCGGAAAGCUGUGGCGGAUGGGACGGAGCAACUAGGUCGGGUUGAAGGGGAUAAGGAGACUAUCCGGGCCGAGGCUGACAUCCUGAAGAAAGAAAAGCAAGCCUUGGAGGGCUAAGUCAAUGCAGCUGGGCAGGAGAACCUCCAGUUGAAGAGAGAGACGGAUGAACUCCUGGAUAGCCUUGCCGCCCAGAAGAAGGAGUCAGAGGAUUUGCGGGAGGGUCUGGCGGCUCAAAAGGAGAAAAUGGAGGCUAGGUUCGCCGCUCAGAAGAAGGAGAUGGAGGAGGAAUACCAGAAGCAGGCAGACGAGAUGUAUUUCUUUGGCUACCGUUGUUGUAUGAAGAAACACGGAAUUAUGCAUGAUAUUCCUUCUUUCCUUUCUGAUGAGGAAGAUACAACACCUGGGGGUCCGUCCAGCUGAAACUUCCUUCUGUACAGACUUUAUAAUUUUUCCUCUUUGUUUUGCUGCACAUGGGGCAGUUAUUUUUGUAAAGACACUUUUUACUUAUUUAUAAAUACAUUACAUUUCUUCUGUUUUUUGCUUACUCCUCAUUUCCUUUCAUUGAUAAUACUGCUUAAGAUUGGAUACAUUUCAUGGACGGAGCAGCGAGGUUCCAUCUAGCUUCUAUAGAUGAUAGACUCCACUUUCACUUGUCUUGGACACAAUGUAAGGGUCUUCCCAAUUUGCUUGGAAUUUUCCUGCUCCCUUUUCAGCAGUGUUCUUGAAAACCUUUAUGAGGACCAACGUUCCACCUUUGAAGCUCUUGGGUCGUGCCUUGCGUUUGUAGUGAGCUGCCGCCCUUUGUAGGUAGUCGGUCAUUCGAAUGGAUGCGUUCUCUCUCACUUCAUCCACCCAGUCCAAAUUUCUUCCUAGUUCCACAUUUGCAUCACCCUGUCGUCCUACCUCAAUCCGGAUAGUGGGUAGGCCUAUUUCUGUAGGGAUGACUACAUCCAUACCGUAUGCGAGGGCGAAGGGAGUGUUUCCUGUUGGUCACCCGGGUGUGCUUCGAUAGGCCCAUAGGACGCCGGGUAACUCCUCUACCCACUUCCAUUUGGCUUGCCCGAGCCUCUUCUUUAAGGUAGUUACCAGGGUUUUGUUUUUGCCUCUGCCUGUCCAUUGCUUUGAGGAUAAUGUGGUGUGGAGUAUAAAUUCCAGAUGUUAAGUUCCGAACAGAAAUUCCAGAAAGUGAUGCUAUCAAACUGCGGGUCGUUAUCAGCUAUAAUGGUUUGAGGGAUUCCAAAGCGACAGAUGAUGUUCUUCCAUACGAACUUGGUGAUGUCUUUGUCCUUGAUGCUAGCGUAUGCUUCAUCUUCUACCCAUUUACUGAAGUAAUCUGUGGUGACGAGUAGAAAUUUCUUCUAGGCAACUGCGGCUGGUAGGGGUCUUACUAUGUCCAUCCCCCAUUGCGCGAAGGGUCAGAGGCUAGAAAUUAGUUUUAAUGUCUCAGAUGGUGCAUGCGGUAUGAGGGCAUGCCUCUGGCAUUUGUCACACUUCUUGACAUAAGCUGCCGCAUCUUUCUCAUCGUGGGCCAAUAAUAUCCUUGCGAGUGGGCCUGAUGAGCUAGAGAUCGACCUCUAGAAUGAUUGUCGCACACACCCUCAUGUAACUCAUCCAAUACAUACAAGGCUUCCGAGUGAUCCAGGCACCUAAGGUAGGGGCCUGUGAAGGAUCGCUUGUAGAGGUGCCCCCCGAUUAGGGUGAAACGGGCGGCUUGUACUCAGAUCUUAUGUGCCUGCCUGGGUUCUUCGGGCAAAGUUCCUAUUCGGAGAUACCUUAUUAUGACUUUCGUCCAUUCUUAGCCGUCUGUUUGGCUCGCCUCAAUAGUAUUGCAAGUGGAGGCUUCUGUGAUGGAGGGGUCAGUUUGCACGUGUAUGGGCAAUAAUAUGGCCUCUUUGAUGGGGAGGGAAACGGCUAUCCCUGCCAGGGUGUCGGCACGUCCAUUAUCAGCUCAUGGAAUUUUUUUCGAUUGUUCAUUCGACAAACCGUUGCAGGGUGUCUCUUACUUUAGUCAGAUAUCGCGCCAUGCGUUCAUCUUUGGCUUCGUAUUCCUCCUGGACGUGUCUUACCACGAGUUGGGAAUCACUGUAGAUUCGAAGCUUGGAGACAGAUAAGGCCAAGGCAAGAUCUAAUCCGAAUAGGAUGGCUUAAUAUUCUAUUUCAUUGUUAGACGCGAGGAAUCCCAGUCGAAUAGCUUGCUCUAGCUGUUCUCCCGUUGGGGAUUGCAGUAGGAGCCCUACUCCGGAUCCUGAUGACCGAGAGGCUUCAUCAACCCGCAAGGUCCACCACUCUUCUUCGCAUGGUUCUUUGCGUUGAGCAGGUUUUUGAGAGUAUUUUAGCAUGAAGUCAGCCAUUACCUGCCCUUUCAUGGACAAUCUCGGUUGGUAUUCAAUUUCGUACUCGCUCAACUCUAUGGCCCAUUGAAGCAUUCUUCCGGUCAGGUCCGGCUUGUGCAGGAUGUUGCGAAGGGGCUGGUCGAUCAGCACGACCACUGGGUGGGCUUGGAAGUAAGGGCGGAGCUUCUAGGCGGCACUUCGAAUGGCCAAAGCUGUUUGCUCCAUCUUUGAGUACCUUGUUUCUACGUCAGUCAAUGCCCUGCUAACAUAAUAAAUAGGUUUUUGCUCCUUAUGCGAGGGGCAGUGGAAUAAAACAGCACUAAUUGCCCACUCUGAUACAGCCAGAUACAUAUACAAUUUUUCUCCAGGGAGGGGGCUGCUUAGAAUGGGUAGUUGUAUGAGGUAGUGCUUGAUUUUCUCGAAAACGCUCUGGCAGCUGUUCGUCUACCCGUUCGCAUCGGCUUUUCGUAUUGCCAAGAAGAAGAGUCGCAAUUCAUCAGUGAAGCGGGCUAUGAAACGCCCUAGUGCGACAAGCUUGCUUGUGAGGCGAUGUAAUUCAUUUUUGCUCCUAGGGGGUGGUGUUUCCAUGACUACCUUAACUUGAUCCCUCUUUGGCUGACCAUGAACCUUAGGAAUUUUCCAGCACUUACGCCGAAAGCGCAUUUGGACGGAUUCAGUUUCAUGUCAUACUUCCUUAAGAUGUGGAAGACUUCUUGUAAGUGAAAGGCAUGUUCACUUCGGGUUUUGCUCUUAACCACGAUAUCAUCGAUGUAUAUCUCCACUGUGCGGCCAACUAGAGGUUUGAAGAUCUUCGUCAUCAAUCUCUAAUAGGUGGCGCCAUCGUUUUUAAGUCCGAAUGGCAUGACUUUAUAACAAUAAAGCUCAUGCAGCGUUAUAAAGGCUGUCUUUUCUUCGUCGACCGGAGCUAUGGGGAUUUGGUGGUACCCGGAGAAGGCAUCCAAGAAGGAGAGCAUUCCCUAUCCGGCGGUGGAGUCUACGAUCUGGUCUAUCCGUGGUAGAGGGAAACUGUCUUUUGGGCAUGCGUUGUUGAGGUUGGUGUAAUCGACGCACACUCGCCAUUUGCCUUCUUUUUUGGGGACCACUACUACAUUUGCUAACCAGUCCGGAUACUCCACUUCUCUAAUAAAUCCGACCUCCAGCAAUUUGUCAAUCUCAUCCUGGAUAAUUUUUUGCCUGUCUGGGUGAAAAUGUCUAACCCUCUGUCGGACAAGUCUUGUUGUUGGCAAGACGUUAAGCCUAUGAGAGGUGAUUGAAGGGUGGUUCCCUUCAUGUCAAAAUGCGGCCAUGCAAAGACGUCAUGGCUUUGUCGGAGGGCGUCGUGGAUGUCUUGUGCUUCUUCGGGUGUCAAGAGGGAACUGAUAUGUGUGAGGUGAGUACUUUCUUCCGAUAUCUUGAUUGUCUGCAAGGGAUUCACUGCCGAGGGAUCUUUGUCCUCCGGAUUCAGUAAUUGUUAUUGGUCAAGUGCGCUGGUGGGUUCAGGGAGGGGCUCGUCGCCCUUGCUGAUCCCACCUUCUAGCACUAUCUGAUAGCACUGGCGGGCAGCCAACUGGCUACCGUAUAGAUUGGUUUGUCCAUCUUUAGUAAGAAAGCUCACCAUCUGAUGGUACGUGGAAGGGAUUGCUUUCAUAUAGUACAACCACGCGCGUCCUAAGAUGACGUUGAAGGGGGACAAAUCUCCUACCACUGAAAAUUGUACGUUAAGGGUGACUUGGACUGGCAGCACAAUGUCUCCAAGGGAGGUGGUUGCUACGCCAUUAAAUCCCAACAAGACCCACCCAGGAUUUUCUAAGUCGGAUAGUUCGAGACCCAUUUGAUUAACUACUGAUGCCUGCAAAAGAUCGAUCGAGCUUCCUGGGUUGAUUAGGAUCUAUCUUACAUCAAAGUCUCCCAUCACCAGAGAUAGGAUGAGGGCGUCACGGUGCGGUUGUAGUAUUCGCGUGGGAUCUACGGGAGGAAAAAUGAUUGUCCCAUCUACUGGCUGGGCACUUCCCUCAGUUGCUCCGGUCUAAAUGGUAUUGACGCGCUCGCGUACCGAUGUCGCCCGCAGCAACUUCUGCCUCUUUCUUUUGGAGUUGUACUCCUCAUCCAGAGGUCCUCCAUGAAUAUAAUUGAUGAUGGCUUUGGGGGAGAUUGGGGUCCUGAGGGACCCGGAAUCGCGAUUUCGGGGGGUAUCUCUACCUCUGGCAUCUGAGCAGAGGUAUUGCUUCAAAUGUCCCACUUUUAUGGGCCUUUCCACCAAAUACUGGAGACUCCUGCACGUCUUCAUAGUGUGACCAUGCUCCUUAUGGUAGGCACACUUCUGGCAAUGAUCUCUUUUGGCUGGGUCCGUUCUGAGGGGUCCGGGCCACCUGAAGCCGGACAGGUCCUGGAUCAUAGGGAGGAGUUUCUCAUAUGAUAUGGAAAGGGGUGUGAGUGGUGGCAGUUCUGGGCGACUGGGCUCUCCCUGCCUUCGUUCGGACGGCCUUGACCGGUCUAGAAGUUUGGAACUUCUUUCCGCACCGGUUCUGUAUGUCUGCCCAGCAACCAAAAUUUGUUGGGUGGCCGCACGCACGUCGUCUUCCAGCAUUGAGUAUUUGCUCGCGCGCCGGAACAGGUCAUCCAUUGUCGUGGGAGGCUUCUUAGCGAGCGACUUGAAGAAUGGAGUGCCUGGGCAUAUGCUUCGUUUGAAGAUCUGAAGGACAACAUCCAUGCUAUAAGCCUCUACUUGUAACACAGCUUGACCGAACCGUUUCACUAAUUCUCUCAAAGACUCAUUCUCCUGCAUUUUUAUGUUUUGCAGAGUGCUGAUGUUCUGUUUAUGCCGAGCGGAACACAAGUAUUGCCCCACAAAAGCUUCCGACAGGUCCCUGAAGUUAUCAACAGAGUUCGGGGGUAGUCGGUGAAACCAUGAGAGAGCCUGACCUUGUAGGCUGGUGGGGAAUACUUUGCAUAGCAACGCGUCGUUUCCUAUAUCGAGAGUCAUGAGUUGUCGAUAAUGCAUGAUAUGGUCGAAGGGAUCGCUGGACCCAUCAUACGUGGAAAAUUUUGGUACGAGAAAUCUCCUUGGGGAGUCGUAAUGAAUAAUAUGUGAGCAAAAAGGCAUGGAAAGCAUGUCAUCCAGCCUCUUGCUGAUGGAGCCAGUGGGUGGCUCAUUUGGAGAGUUUCUUCCAGCUUGUCGUACCGCUUGGUGCGGGAGGAUGUUCUACACAACGAGUGCGAUCAAAGGGUUAGGGUACGCUUCCCAAGUUGUGGCCACUGGUGGCCUUAUCUUCCCAGGCUCCUGUGGGCCUAGCCUUGCGCGCAUCGCGUCCGACAGUUGGGGUCUCUUGUCGCGUUGUCUCUUUGAUGAGAGAUGAGUAGAAUCUAAGCUUUCAUCCUGGGGAGCUUGGUGCAUGGGCGUGGGCCGUUCUUGAGGUUGAUUAUUGCACCUCAGGAAUGACCCCCGCAAUCCCAAGAUAUAUCGAUUCUGGAUCAGGCCUCGAAUUUGCUCCCUGGCCUCUUGAGCGCUGGCCAUGAGAAGGCCCCGUCGAUGAAGCCUGGAUGCGUAACACAGUGUUUUCUUCUCUCAAUCUCGUUGUUUCUUGGAGGAGAGCCUGCAUUUGUCGCUUACUCUCCAACUUUCGUCUUUCCAUGGCUUCACGCCAUUCGAAAUAACCUUCACCUCCUCUAGCCGACGAGUGGCUCCUAGAAGGUGUGGACAUCUUCGCCGUCGACUGAGCAAAGUGUUCCCACAGACGGCGCCAAUGUUGAUGCCUUGCGUCCCAAGGAUCCACGCAGCUGCCAAGUGGACGGCGCUUUCAACCAAGAAUGAAUUCUGGCUCAGUCGAUCCUACAAAAGAUGUCCGGACACACCCUUCGAUGGUUUUGUUAGCCAUGGCUCAAUGGAUCAGGCUGUUGCCCUUUUUUCUGAGUUAGUUGGCCUACCUUCUUCUUUGCGUGAAGGUUCUUUUAUAUAGUGUCAGAAGCUCUGCUCCCCUCUUUAAUGGCGGGAAGACUUUUUGGCUUGUCAUGAUGUCUCUGAGGUGAUGGCAGAAUCAUCAUCACCUCCCAGGAGGCUGUCAAAAAUCGUGGGAGGUGACUUGCCAUCACUCCUGUCCUUUCGCUCUGCAGACGAUGAAACAUGGGCUGUGAUUUUAGUUAUCUCCGUCGGUGAAGCUUGAGGAGGAAAAAACAAAACACAAGGUCAUUUCGAUACUCUACGUACUCUUUAGGCUUUACCUGGACAUUAAGAAGAUAAUCAAAGAUUCCAAAGCAGAAUAUGACGAGAGGGAGGUUUGUGGUUUGGUACGUAUUGUAGCUUCAGAUUUGGUCUGUCCCAUAGAGUAAAAGUGAUGGUCCCCAGUUUAAAGCAACGAGGUAAUUUUAUCAUUGAAUUUGCUAGAUUUAGAAGGAUUCAUCGUUUCAAUAUGAUGCCACUUAUUAAUUGUUUCCCGGUAUUCCAGACAUGCUCUUGCUUACAACUCCAAGACAAACGCAUCUCUUUAGAGGCACUGUCCUUGAGAAAUGGUGAUGUUCCUCCAAGCUGUGAGAAAAUCCAAGGGGUUUUUCCCGAGGAUUCUCAAUGUGUGGCCCCGUUGGGUUGAACUGUCCGGGUUAGAAGGUGGAGUGGACUGGGUUGGCUCAACCAUCUCGGAAUAUGGAUUCUGCGUCAAGGGUUCGGCUGCAUCAUGUUGGAGAUGGACUGAUUGGCCCAUGUUUUUGUAAGGGAGUCGAAUCUCAGAGACUGGGCCUAGAUUGAGAAAUUGCAACCAUGCAAUAAAGCCCGUGUGACGUGCUCUUGGAGAUCAAAACAUGAUCCGUAUAACAAACAACCUACUGCCGACCUACACCACAGAUCGUGGUGCUGGCCACCCGUACGGUCUAGAGACCACAUGUACAAGCUCAUGACGCUAUUCCUUCCUAUCACCAAUUUGGAAAUGGCCCACCUAAGAAACAUGUAGCCAUGAUCAAACGGGAAUCCCAUGAUGAGAAAUUGUAGAGAAGAGUUAAAAAUAAAAAAUAAAAAGAAGAAAAAAGAAAGGUCAAUACCACUCGAUCAGGUUCCAGAAAAGGGCAUGUGGAAUAAGAAAUUAAUGCACUGAACGCGAACCAUGGCAGUCCCUCUAUGACAACACCAGUUAAUAGUCGUGUUGUGUCCCCACCUUCUGGAAAUGCCAUCCCUCCCACCAAAUCUCGGUAAUCAAAAUAAAAUGGGUUAUUAUCUUCAACUGCUUGCGUGCCCAAAUCAAUCACGUUUCCGAUAAGCAGUAUAGUUAGUUCUCUCAUUAACAUUUCUUCAGGAUCAAGGAUAUUAUUGAUUUUCAUUGACUUGCUCCUAUUUUGCAUUGGUUGAUGGAGAUAAACACACACAUAUUAAUCCUGAUCUUAAAAAUUGGUAUUAAAUCUGUUCAAGGAACCUAGUCAAGGAAAGCAUAAUCUUGAUUGAAACCUUGCACGCACAGCAUUGUCCACUUGUGGUUUAGCCUGGAUGCUUCUGAAAGCAUCAUGAAUGGAUUCCGAGACUUGUGGUUUAUGCCUGCAUGUUUCUGAAAGCAUCGUGGAUAGGUUCCAAGACCUCAUCAUUACUAGUUUCCCACCCCAAAAUUCCAAGAAGCCACCAAAAUACUCCUUUGAAUGGCUGCACAGGAUUUACACACUAGAAGAAGCCAAAAAAAUGAGACCCUUGGCUGAAGCAUAAUUGGACCCUUGUAAGUCUUUUACUAGAAGAAGCCAAAAAAAUGGGACCCUUUGGCUGAAGCAUAAUUGGACCUUUGUAAGUCUCUUAAUAGAAGAAGCCAAAACAAUGGGACCCCUUGGCUGAAGCAUAAUUGGGACUCUUCAGGCACAUACGGCAUGUGCAAAUAUCUAGAUAUUUUAAUCCCAAGUAAAAUGAUGCUCCUUUUUUCGUAUUCUUUUGUUUGACGUAUGCAUCAGGAUCGGACCGCAUCUAUGUUAUUUUUUAUUCCAAAUUUCAAAUAAAGACGAGACUUCGCUACAAAAUUGUCAACGCCUUUGGGACCCAUAAACCUUUUCUCAAACAAUGAUUAAAGGCAAAUUUUUGUAUUGAUAUAAUGCAACUAGCCAACCAUAUGGGUGUAAGGAUGAGCAUGCAAUCCCAUCAAAAUGGCUUCUGGACCCACACUAUCUUAGUUCGUGGCAGUCAAAUCGCAAUAUAAUAGACGGGGAGUGUUAGAUUUUCUUAAUGAGGUCCAGAAGUCUUGUCCAUAAUCUUUAGGAAUAAUACUAGACUUUGUCAAAUGGGUCUAAAAAUCUAACCCAUAAUAUUUUGACAUUUCCGUCUAUGUAAUCAUGGUUAGGUCCCUAAUUCUUUAACCUCUAUUCACACACAUGUAUCAUCGUUUAAGAUUGAUUAAAAGUUUAAAAACAUCACAACUUAUUUCAAUAUCAAAUUUGAUUUUCGAAUUCCUGAACUAUCAACUAUAGAAAAUAUGUUUUGAUUCUUCAUUUAUUUUUAUAUUUAAUAUAUGUCAUUAAGGUUUUAAGCAUAUUUAGAUUGAUUUUAACACUUAUAAUUGGUAUUAAAACCAUUUUAUUGUCUCUACCUUAAUUAUGUGCAACCUAAAAAAAUUGAUUAUGUGCCUUAAUUAUUUUCUUUUAAUCCUUAUGGUAAAAAAAAUUUCUUACGAAUUUGGAAGAAAACUGUUUGUAUUAUGCUUUUGAAAGAUGAAGAAGUCAAGUUUUGGGCAUGAAAAAUGAGGGCUAUUAAUAUCCAAUCGAUCCCUACCUCCCCUUACAACUUUUACAGUGCAAUGGCCUAGCUAUACCCCUAUUGAUGGGAGCAAGUUGUAGAGUUAUGAUUGUAUGUUGUCCAUAUUAUAGAGAUUUUGAUAUAGUGGUUUAUAGUUUUGAAUCAUUCUUUACAACUUGUAACAAUUGUAUCAUUAUUCCUUUUAAGAGAAAAGGGGUAUAUAGUGGUUAAUAUGUCCUUGUCAACACCCUUUAAAAUCAAAUCCCACAUUUUCUUCAUAAAGUAAUAUAGAUUAGGUACGAACUUCCAGUUUUUAAAUCUGGAAAGCUAUCAAAAAUUAGACAUUUAUACCAAUAAAAAAUAUGAAAAUUUUCCAGAAAUUUAAAAUUUUGGAUAUUUUGUGAAAAUUUCAUAAAUUUGGUAUUUUUGUGAAAAAAAAAAAUCAUAUUUUUGGUGUUUUUAUGAAAAAUACAUAAAUUUGGCAUUUUAUGAAAACCAUUUUGUGGAAUUAAAAUUUGGAUAUUUAUGUGCUUAAAAUCAUGUCUUUUUUGUAUGUAUAAUUUAUUGUUUUCAUUAUAUAUGUAAUUUGAAUUUUUACUAUAUAAAUUUAAACAGUGUUCAUAUAUGUAAAUAUUGCUUAUGGUUGCAUGCAAUUUAUAUAAACAGUUUUGUGAAUAAAAUUAAAUAUCUAUUGAUCUAUAUAAUUUUAAUUAAUUAGGGAUUAGCCACAACAUCUUUAAUUAUGUAAAAUUAUAUAUUAAGUACUUUAGGAUCACAUAUAUAAAAAUGACAUUGAUUGUAAUUAAUCAUAUUUAAAUAUAAUAAAUUUUAUCCUUUAUCAUAUUUGUAUUAUUAAUAAUGAUAGAAUAUCAAAUUAUAUUCUUAAUUUACCUAUAGGAAUUAGGAAAGGAACAUAAUUGAUAGUUUUAUCAUAAAGUUAGAUGAAUCUAAUUGAAUUAGAACUUUAGUACACAUACAAGUUUUAUGUCACUACUUCAUAUUUUUGAAACAUGAUUUAUAUUGGUAAAACAUGAUAUAUAUUUAUUAACCUCAAAUUACUAUUAUAUAAGCAUGUAUGUUUAAUAUUUAUGCAGUUAUGCAAUCUGUGAAUUUUUCCGAUAUAAGAUGUGAUAUUCUUGAACUAAAGGGUGACAACUACAAAGUAUGAAAGGAAAGAAUUCUCUUUCAUUUGAGGUAGAUGGACAUUGAUUAUGUUAUUAGGAAAGACGAACCAAGCAUUACCACAACUAGCACUGUAGAUGAAAAGGCUCUUUAUAAAUGAUGGGUGUGAUCCAAUUGCCUUAGUGUGAUGUUCAUAAAAAACAAAAUCUCUACUGGUAUUCAAUGUUCAGUUGAUCAACAUGAUAAAGUUAAGGCAUUAUUAAAGGCUACUGAUGAACAAUUUCAAACUUCAGAUGAGACACUUGCCAGUACCUUGAUUAUGAAGUUUUCAUCCUUAAGGCUCACCAGUGUAAGAAGUGUAUGUGAACACAUCAUGCAAAUGAGGGACAUUGUAACUCAACUAAAAACUCUUGAGGUUGAAAUGUUUGAAUCUUUCCUUGUGCACUACAUACUGAACACUUUUCCACAACAACUUCUGACCAUGUGUGUUCAAGAGGUAUGGAGGUUGGUAAUGGAAAUUGGUGAGAAUGCAUUAUUCGCAAAACAAGGAAAUAACCAAAACCAAGCCAAAAAAAAAAAAAAAAAAGGAAAGGUAAAAUACUGCCCCAAUGAGAAAUAAAAAAAGAAUCCAAGUGCUUCAUCUGCAAAAAGAAAGGACACAUGAAGAAAAAUUGCUCCAAAUUUCAUAAAUGACUUGAGAAAAAAGGUAAACCAAUCUCAUUUGUUUGUUAUGAAUCUAAUAUGGUUGAUGUUAAGCAUGACACAUUGUGGAUUGAUUCUAGUUCUACAAUCCAUAUUUCAAAUACCUUGUAGGGUACACAAAACCUAAGGAAGCUAGUGGGAAGUGAGUAGUGCAUCUAUUCAAGAAACAAGAUGCAUUCAUAUGUAAAAGCUCUUGGAACAUGCACUUUAGUUUUAAGUAGUGGUUUUGUUCUAAAUUUGGAAAAGACAUUUUACAUUCCAAGUUUUUCUAAGAAUUUGAUUUCAGUUUCAAGACUUGUUCCUUUUGGUUAGUCCUUUUAACUUUUCAAAAACAUCAUUUAGUUUAUUUUAUAAAUCUAAUCUUGUUGGGAAUGGUACAUUGUCUAAUAGUCUUUUCUUUAUUAAUUUGCAAAAUGAUACUACUCAUAAUGUUAUGCAUCUUCACACUGGUGUUAAACGAUGUGUUAUGAAUGAAGAUUCCUUUAUGUUAUAGCACCGAAGAUCAAAACAUAUCUCAAUAGAAAGAAUUAAGAGAUUAGUAAAUUAUGGAGUAUUUAGUACUUUGGAUUUUACUGAUUUUGAUAUUUGUAUGAACUUCAAUAAGAGAAAAUAGAUCAACAAGUAAAAAAAAAUGUGCUAAAAGGAGCAUAGACAUAUUGAAGAUCAUACAUUCAGACAUUUGUAGUCUAGACAUGGACUCAUAUGGUCUAAAAUACUUCAUCUCUUUCAUAAACGAUUACUCAUGAUACAUGUAUCUCUACUUGCUUCAUAACAAGAAUGAAACAUUAAAUGUUGUCAAGUUUUUAAGGCCAAAUUAGAAAAUCAAUAUGGAAACAAAUUAAGAUAAUGAGAACAAAUAGAGAUGGAGAAUAUUAUGGUAAAUACACUAACGAUGGACAAACACCCGGUCCAUUUGUGAAGUUUCUUCAAGAGCAUGGGAUAGUUGCCCAAUAUACCAUGUAUGGUUCUCCAUACUAGAAUGGCAUAGCAGAAAAAAUAAACUGAAUGUUAUUGGACAUGAUACAGAGUAUGCUUAGUAGCUCCAAGCUUAUUAAAUCCUUGUAGACUGAAGCUUUUAAAAUGACAAUGUAUAUAUUGAACCGAGUCCCAACUAAUGUUGCCCUAAAAACGUCAUUUGAAUUAUGGAAAGAUUGGAAACCGAGUUUGCAACAUAUACGCAUUUGGGGAUGCCCAUUUGAAGUAAGAGUUUACCACCCACAAGAGAAUAAACUAGACCUAAGGACCAUUAGUGGAUUUUUCGUUGGAUAUGCAAAAAGGUCUAAAUGGUACAUAUUCUACUAUCCCACAACACUAGGAUUGUGUAAUCAAGAAAUGCAAAAUUCCUUGAGAAUGACUUGUUCAAUGAGAAUAUCAAACCUAAAGCAUAGUCUCUGAGAAAGAUCAAUCUUCCAUUUCAAGUGAAAGGUUGGUUAUUAUUCACAACACCUCUCAAGUUCAAAUGGGAGUUGAGCAACCAAUCGUUGAAGUUCCACAAGCUAUUGAGAAUAAUCCAAUAGAUUAAGUUGUUCAGGAAAUGCCAAAAAUUGUUGAACAACCAAUUGAACAACAUAAUCCUCAGGAAAAUUUUGAUUCAACAUUAAAGAGAUCUACUAGAGCAAGGAAAUUAGCAAUUCCUAGUGAUUAUGUUAUGUAUCUAAAAUAAUUGGAUUAUAACAUUUGAGCCGAAAAUGAUCUUGAAACAUUUUCACAAGCCAUUAGUUGCGAAAGAUCAAAUUUAUGGUACAAUGCCAUGAAGGAUGAGAUGAAUUCUAUGGCAUCUAACGAAGUCUAGAAUCUUGUUGAGUUGUCUGAUAGUGCAAAAGUCAUAGGAUGUAAAUAGGCUUUUAAGACAAAAAAAGACUCAUUGGACAAUAUUGAAAGAUAUAAAGCAAGACUUGUUGCUAAAAAAUUCACUUAAAAGGAAAUAAUCGACUAUAAGGAGUCCUUCUCUCCUAUAUCUAAGAAAGAUUAUUUUCGUAUUAGUAUGACAUUGGUUACACAUUUUGAUUUAGAGGUACAACAAAUGGAUGUGAAAAUGGCUUUCCUUAAUAAAGAUCUAAAGGAAGAAGUUUACAUAAAACAACCAAAAGAAAUUUCCUCUAGAGAUGGUGAGCAUUUGGUGUGCAAGCUCAAGAAAUCCAUAUAUGGAUUGAAACAAGUCUCCCGUUAGUGGUACUUGAAAUUCCAUGAUGUUCGUUAUCUCUUCGUGUGGGUCUGUAGAGAAUAGUAUAAAUCAAUGUAUAUACCAGAAAGUUAGUAAGAGUAAAAUAUGUUUACUUAUUCUAUAUGUGGAUGACAUUUUACUUGCAACUAAUGAUAAGGGUUUGCUACAUGAGGUAAAACAAUUUCUAUUUAAAAACUGACAUGAAAUAUUUGGGUGAUGCUUCUUAUGUCAUUGGCAUUAAGAUACAUAGAGAUAGAUUUUGAGAAAUUUUGGGUUUGUCUCAAAAAACCUAUAUCAACAAAGUUUUAGAGAGAUUUUGGAUAAAAUAUUGUUCACCAAGUAUAGCUCCUAUUGUGAAUGGUGACAGGUUCAAUUUGCACUAGUGCCCAAAAAAUGAUAUUGAAAUGAAACAAAUGAAGAACAUUUCAUAUGUUUCUGUUGUUGGAAACUUAAUGUAUGCUCAAGUCUACAUAAGACUUGACAUUACAUUUUUUGUUAGGAUGUUAAGAAAAUAUCAAAGUAAUUCAGGUACAAACCACUGAAGAGUUGCAAAAAAUGUGUUAAGGUGUUUUCAAGGGACGAAGGACUACGUACUUAUGUAUAAACGGACUAAUAAUCUGGAGGUGAUUAGCUACUCAAAUUCAAACUUUGUUGGUUGUGUUGAUUCACAAAAAUCAACUUCUAGAUUCAUUUUUAUGUUCGUUGGUGGAAUUGUAUCCUGGAGGAGUGCAAAGCAAACUUUGUCUACUACUUCCACUAUAGAGGCUGAGUUUAUAUCUUGUUUUGAGGUUACCUCGCAUGGUGUAUGGAGGAAAAGUUUCAUUUUUUAACUUAGAAUUAUAGAUUCAAUUUCUAAGCUAUUUAGGAUAUAUUGCAACAAUUUAUGUGUAGUUUUUAUGGCUAAAAACAAUAAAAGUGGUAGUCGAAGCAAACACAUCAACAUCAAGUAUUUAGUCAUAAGGGAACAUGUUAAGAAGAAAAUAAUGGUUAUUGAAUACAUCAGCACUGAGUUGAUGAUAGUUGAUCCUUUGACAAAAGGCAUGCCACCAUUGAAAUUCAAGAAUCAUGUGAAUAGAAUGGGACUUCAUUCCUUUAUAUGAUUUUCGUUGUAAUAAUGAAUGUUAUUUGUGAUGAAACUUUAUUAAUGUGAUAAUAUUUUCUCUUAUUUGUUUCUAAUUUGUAUACACAUUCAUUCAUUUGAGAAAUAUUACUAAUGUUUGGACCUGAAAUAAACCUUAGGCUUAUUCAUUAAGUAAUGAAGGCAAGUGUUUAAGAGACAUGAUGCAUUGUGAUACAUGGAAGAUAAUACUUGUUUCAGAGAAUCUAUUGUCAUGAUUUGUGUAUUUUGUUUCUUACUAUGGUGAAUGAUGGAAUAUAUAGACCAAGUGGGAUAAUAUUAGAUUUUCCUAAACAGAUCUAGAAAUCUGGCCUAUAAUCUUCCAUUAAUUUUGGGAAUAAUGCUAGACUUAAAUAGGUCUAGAAAUGCUGUCUCUAUUAUUCUAGAAUUUCUAUUGAUUUAGUUUUACAUUUUUAUUGUCAUUAACAACCAUAAAUAAAUUAUGGUAUUGACUCUGUGAUGGGCAGGGUAAAUAUAAAUAGAGCCUUCGUGGUUAGGUCUCUAAGCUUUUGACUUCGAUUUUUAUUCAAAUACAUAUACACUAUUGUUUAAAAUUGAUUAAGAGUUUAGAAGCACCUCAACCCAUUUGAAGAUCAAAUUUGAUUUCUAAAUUCUCAAAUUGAGGUAUGUUCCUCUUCUCCUUUAUUUCCGCAUUUGAUAUAGGCUACACUGGAAGGACCCAGUGUUGUCUCUAUAAUUGACUCUUAUUUCGUCGUCAUGUUUCCGCCUCAAAAAACCCCGAUUCCUUGUUUACACACUGCUACCAAAGGGGAUAGAUUCCUUGUUUACACACUGCUACCACAGGGGAGAGAGGAGGAGAGCUACCAACCAAACAAUGGAGGUUGAAGCUCAGCUGAGCAGCAACACGAGGAAGGCUCUGCUGGUUCUGAGUUGUGUGAUUCUCUCAAUUGGACACUGCGGUGGUCCCUUGGUGAUGCGCCUAUACUUCGUCCGUGGCGGCGAGAGGAUAUGGUUUUCCAGUUGGUUGGAAACGGCUGGGUGGCCCUUGAUCCUAGUCCCUCUCAUCAUCACUUACAUGCACCGCCGAACUAAGCAAGGCUCCCAUGCCAAGCUCUUCUUCAUGAAACCUCCUCUGUUCGUAGCCUCCGCUGUUAUCGGUGUCCUCACCGCCCUCGAUGACUACCUCUACGCUUAUGGCGUAGCAAAACUGCCCGUUUCAACAAUUGCUCUCAUCAUCGCAAGCCAGCUCGCUUUCACAGCAGCCUUCGCAUUCCUCUUAGUGAAACAAAAGUUCACCUCAUACUCCGUAAAUGCCAUAUUUCUCUUGAGUAUUGGUGCUGGUGUCUUGGCUCUACACACUAGCUCCGACCGCCCUGCUAAUGAGUCCAACAAAGAAUAUUACCUCGGGUUUUUCAUGACACUUGCAGCUGCAGCGCUCUAUGGUUUCAUUCUCCCCCUGGUUGAAUUAACAUACAAGAAAGCAAAGCAGGCAAUAACCUACUCACUGGUCAUGGAGAUUCAAAUGGUGAUGUGCUUCUUCGCCACCUUCUUUUGCACAGUGGGGAUGCUGGUUAAUAAUGACUUUCAGGUGUAUUCCUCUUUUCUAUCCACCCAGUUACCUUUAACACAUUCAACCAGAUAGAACCACCAAAAACAAAGAUUGAUAAUUUAUGUUUGCUUCUUCCUCAUUUAAUUUUGUAGGCAAUUCCCAGAGAGGCAAAAGAAUACGAGCUUGGAGAAGCUAAAUAUUAUCUGGUGGUGGUAUGGAAUGGGAUCAUGUGGCAGUGCUUCUACUUAGGAGCAAUAGGAGUCAUCUUUUGCGCUUCAUCUUUGGUAGCCGGUAUUGUGCUUGCUGUCCUACUCCCCGUGACUGAGAUCUUGGCUGUUAUUUUCUUCCACGACAAAUUUCAAGCAGAGAAGGGGGUUUCACUUGCUCUCUCUCUUUGGGGUUUUGUUUCAUACUUCUACGGCGAGAUAAAGGAUAGCAAGAAAAAGAAGAAUCCCACUCCGGAGACGGAGCUGCCUCAAACAGUCAAUCCAUGAUAAACAAAUGUCUUUCUUUUCCCCACAGAAGAGGGGGGACAGGAUUCGCAUAUAAGCAUUUACUAGGGAAUUUAAAGAAACACUUCAUCUGUAUGUUACAGGCAGUUCAUAACCAAGACUAAAGUGGGUUUCUUUCCAGUUUUGAGAUGAAGGAAUUCCAAUAAAAUAUGGACUGUAAGGUCAAGGCGUGCUAAAUGUGAAGUCGAUACAGAGUGGGAAAAUAUGACAUAUUUUGAGACUUAAUAGUCAUAUCCAAUUUCUAUUAUCUAUAAUAUUAUAUAGUAUUAUAAAAUAAUCUCUCUCAUCCUUGGAUAUGGUUAAACUAUGUUAAAAUUUGAGUAUUCUGUUUAUGGUUGGUUUUAUCUCUGUAUGUUCUUAUUACAGCUUCCACUUAACACAUCAACUUAGUAUUAAAACCUUGGUUGAAUAUUUUUUAGAAGAACCAAAGAUAAUAGAAGAUUGUGGUCCAUGAAAAAAACCCUAACACACACUAUCAAUGUACAAUAGUGUAUACCAUAAAUAAAUAAAAAAGAAGAAAUAUUCACUUAAACGAAAUUUUUAACAGUAGAAAUGGUUGAAAAAUGCUUCCAAUUCCUAAAGAAUAUUUUAAAUAUUGAUUGGGAACUUGCAACAUUUCCCAAUAUUAGAAUCAAUAAGGAAACGGUCUUACUGAGAAAGAAUUGAAGUCAUCGUCAUCCAGGCAAGAUGAUGGGCCAUUAAGGUUAGGUUGGGAUCAAGAGAAGCUGGAUAUGGAUUGUUUUGUUAAUCCAGUAUAACUUAAAAGCUUAAUUAAGUUAUGUAAUAGUGGACCAACAGUGCACUUUGCACUGAUUUGGGUUACAUGUUAGGGUCGUAGCCCAAGUAGGUUGAUAUAUGAUGGUGGACCAACAACUGCAUGCGAAUGAAUGGCUAUGUGAAUUUCCUAAGACUCGGUUCAUUUCAACUUCUACUGAUUGCAUCGAAACUUUCGGGAAGAAUUGGCGUAUGGAUCUUCCCUAAAUGGGUGUUGACGCCGCCAAAAUAGGCACCUCCAAAUACAUGGCCUUAAGCCACCUACAGCAUAGCCGCCCAAGACGCAAGCAUCUGUAGCUAUCCAAAACGAGCUCGGCUAAAAAUAAGUGCCUGCAUAUGAGAUAUGACUCACAUCCAGGACUGGCAGGUUGACCGAACUGACCCUCAAAAGAAGGCCUCACCAACUCUUAAACAUUAUCGGAACAGGCUGGCAGGCUUUAACACAUGCCCUAACCAUAUAAACGUAAAAAAAAAAAAAAAGAAAAAAAAAAAGAAGAAGAUCAUAAUAAGACAAAAAGGGGAGAAAGAAAUUCUCUCGUCUACAGGUGUCGAAGCUUCAUUCAACACAGAGUUGUAAGAUUACCAAUGUUGGGUGCAGACCUAUCCUUUCUAGUUAUCUCCGCCGGUGAAGCUUGAGGAGGAAAAACAAACCACAAGGUCAUUUCGAUACUCUACUCUUUAGGCUUUACCUGGACACUAAGAAGAUAAUCAAAGAUUACAAAGCAGAAUAUGAGGAGGGAGGUUUGUGGUUUGGUACGUAUUGUAGCUUCAGAUUUGGUCUGUCCCAUAGAGUAAAAGUGAUGGUCCCCAGUUCAAAGCAACGAGGUAAGAGUUUUAUCACUGAAUUUGCUGGAUUUAGAAGGAUUCAUCGUUUCAAUAUGACGCCACUUAUUUAUUGUUUCGGGGUAUUCCAGGCAUGCUCUUGCUUACAAUUCCAAGACAAACGCAUCUCUUUAGAGGCACUGUCCUUGAGAAAUGGUAAAGUUCCUCCAAGCUGUGAGAAAAUCCAAGGGGUUUUUCCCGAGGAUUCUCCAUGUAUGGCCCCGUUGGGUUGAACCGUACGGGUUAGAAGGUGGAGUGGACUGAGUUGGCUCAACCAUCUUGGAAUAUGGAUUCAGCGUCAAGGAUUCGGCUGCACCAUGUUGGAGAUGGACUGACUGGCCCAUGUGUUCUGUAAGGGAGUCCAAUGGGCACCCAUGCAAUAAAAGCCCGUGUGACGUGCUCUUGGAGAUCAAAACAUGAUCCGUACAAUACAACUUACUGCCGACCUACGCCACAGGUCGUGGCGCUGGCACCCGUAGGGUCUAGAGACCACAUAUUCAAACUGAUAAUUACAGUAUUCAUUCCUGUCACCAAUUUCGAAAUGGCCCACCCAAGAAACAUGUGGAGCUUUCACCCAAAAUAUUGCGUUUUAAAAAAAAAUUUCAAAAAAUAAAGUUGUUUUAAAAAUAAUGUACGAUGUAAUAAAUAUAUACCACAUAAGCUGUCAUGGCAUAAAACUGUAGUUGAUGACUACGGUUUUAUUUUUUUAAAAUGGUUAGAAACCGUAGUUACCAACCACGGUUUUAACUUUAAGUUUAAAGCCGUAGUUGGUGACUACGGCUUUGACAUUUUUUUAAAAUGGUCAAAGUCAUAGUUACCAACUACGAUUUUAACUUUAUAUAUAUUUAUAUAUAACUUUAAUUUUUUUAAUAAAAAUAUUAUAUUAUUUUGAUUUUAAAUAUACUUAUUUCAUUAUUUUAAAAAUAAUAAUAUAUGAAAUUAAAUAAAUGAUAUUUUUAAUUUGAUAUAAAUAUAUUUUUAAAUUUUAUUAAAAUAAUAUAUUCUAUAUUUAAUAUAAAUAUAUUUAUUUAAUUAUAUUUAAAUAUAAAUAAAAUAUAAUAAAUUAUGAAAGCCUAUUAAAAAACAAAUAAUAUAAAUUAUUAUAUUAAUUAAUAAUUUUUUAUAUACUAUAUGUAAGUGGUAUAUAAUGUCACAUGUAUAUAAGUUCAAUUAAGUUUAAAAUUUAUCAUAUUUUAAUUUAAGUUCAUAAUAUUAUAUCGAUAUGAUAAUAAUUUAUUUAUAUAUUUAAAUAAAUAUGCUAAAUUUUAAACUUAAAUUAAAAUUAUAUAUAUAUAUAUAUAUGUGUGUGUGAUAUUAUAUACUAUUUACAUAUAAUAUAUAAAAAAAUUAUUAAUUAAUAUAAUAAUUCAUAUUAUUUUUUUCUCCAAAUAGGCAUUUAUAAUUUAUUUAUUUUAAAUAAACAUAAUUUAUUAUAUUUCAUUUAUAUUUAAUUUUAAUUAAAUAAUUAUAUUUAUAUUAAAUAUAGUGUCAAUUGUUUUAAUAAAAUUUAUUUAUAUAUUUAAAAAUAAUGUGAUAAAUUUUAAACUUAAAUUAAACUUUUAUAUAUAUAUAUAUAUAUAUAUAUAUAUAUAUGUGUGUGAGAGAGAGAGGUAUUAUAUACCACUUAUAUAUAAUAUAUAAAAAAAUUAUUAAUUAAUAUAAUAAUUUAUAUUACUUUUUUAUUUUUCUAAAUAGGUAUUUAUAAUUUAUUUAUUUUAAAUAAAUAUAAUUUAUUAUAUUUUAUUUUAAUUAAUUAAUUAUAUUUAUAUUAAAUAUAGUGCCUAUUGUUUUAAUAAAAUUUAAAAUAUAUUUUUAUAUCAAAUUAAAAAUAUCAAUUAUUUAAUUUCGUAUAUUAUUAUUUUUAAAAUAAUAAAAUAAGUAUAUUUAAAAUCAAAGUAAUAUAAUAUUUUUAUUAAAAAAAUUAAAAUUAUAUAUAAAUAUAUAUAAAGUUAAAACCGCAGUUGGUGACUACGGUUUUGACCAUUUUUAAAAAAAAAAAUCAAAGUCGUAGUCACUAACUACGACUUUAAACUUAAAGUUAAAACCGUGGUUGGUAACUACGGUUUCUAACCACUUAAAAAAAUAAAACCGUAGUCACCAACUACAGUUUUAUGACAUGGCAGUUUAUGUAGCACAGACGCAUUAGAUCGGUCAUUAUUUUCAAAGCAAUUUUAUUUUUUGGAAUUUUUUUUUAAAACACACUAUUUUGGGUCAAAGCUCAAUGGCCAUCAAACGGGGAAUCACGUGAUGAGAAAUUGAAGAGAAGAAUUAAAAACAAAAAAUAAAUAAAAAGAAGAAAAGGAAAGGUCAAUACCCCUCAAUCAGUUUCAAGAAAAGGGCAUGUGUUAUGAGCAAUGCACUGAAACGCGAACCAUUUCAGCCCUCCAAAGGACAACACAAGUUAAUAGCCCGUGUGGUCCCAACCUUCUGGAAAUACGAUUCCUCCCACCAAAUCUUGGUAAUCAAAAUAAAAUGGGUUAUCAUCUUCAACUGCUUUGCAUGCCUAAUGAACAUUGUUUUCGAUUACCAGUAUAGUUAGUUCUCUCAUUAACAUUUCUUCAGGAUCAAGGAUAUUGUUUUCAUUGACUUGCUCCUAUUUUGCAUUUGUUGAUGGAGAUACACAACGCACACACAUUAAUCCUAAUCUUAAAAAAUGGUAUUAAAUCUGUUCAAGGAAGCUAAGCAGGAAGAGCAUAAAACCUUGCAUUCACAGCAUUGUCGAUUUGUGAUUUAGCCCGGAUGCUUCUGAAAGCAUUAUGGAUAGGUUCGAAGCCCUCAGAAAUUAGACUAAUGCCAUGUUUACGUCAUCAUUACUAGCUUUCACACCAAAAUUCCAAAAAGAUAAACGCUAUGGUAUUAGUUUAAUGUUUAUCUCAUUGCCACCACACUAGUCAUCUAGAAGGUUUUACUGCUUUGAAUGGCUGCACAGGGUUUACACAAUAGAAGUAAAAAAAUGGGGCCUCUUCGCUGAAGCAUAAUUGGACUCUUGUGAGUCUAACCAUUAAUCUGGAACUGGAAAGCUGCCCUCUUUUAUUUAACUCCUAUAAUGAAGAUAAUGAUCCGAGACAUCAAUGUUUUCAACGAAAACUGGAUCGCUACACUUGGAUGUCCAGCAAAUUUUCAAUUUAAAUAAUGUACAAGACAAUCAAGGAGGUGAAAAAAAUUGAUGAAGCGAAUCAACAGUUUCUGAUACCAAUUUCAGGCACAUACGGCAUGUGCAAAUAUCUAGAUAUUUUAAUCCCAAAUAAAAUAAUGGUUCCUUUUUUCGUUUUCUUUUGUUUGACGUAUGCAUCAGGAACGGAACAUAUCUUAUAUUAUUUUGAUUCCAAAUUUCAAAUGAAGACGAGAUUCCAUAACUGAAUUGUCAACACGACCUUUGGGACUGAUGAACCUUAUUCAAACAAUGAUGAAAGGCAAAUUUUUGUAUUGAUAUAAUACAACUAGCCAACUGUAUGGGUGUAAGGAUCAAGGAAGACUAGGAAAUUUCGAAGGAUGAGACUACAACCCCAUCAGAAUGCCUUCUGGACCCACACUAUUUUAGUUCGUGGCAGUCAAAUCGCAAUAUAAUAGACGUAGGGAAGGACCCAAUGUUAUCACUAUAAUUGACUCUUAUUUCGUCGUCAUGCACCGCCUCAAAAAACCCGAAUUCCUCUUGGCACUGCGACUUCAAGGGAGAAGGAGAAGGAGUAGGAGAGGGGAGAGGGGAGAGGGGAGAGGGAGGGAGAGCUACCAACCGAACAGUGGAGAUGGAAGCUCAGCUGAGCAGCAACAUGAGGAAGGCUCUGCUGGUUCUGAAUUGUGUCAUUCUCUCAAUUGGAAACUGCGGUGGUCCCAUGGUGAUGCGCCUGUAUUUCGUCCGUGGCGGCGAGAGAAUAUGGUUUUCCAGUUGGUUGGAAACGGCUGGGUGGCCCUUGAUCCUAGUCCCUCUCAUCAUCACUUACAUCCACCGCCGAACCAAGCAAGGCUCCCAUGCCAAGCUCUUCUUCAUGAAACCUCCUCUGUUCGUGGCCUCCGCUGUUAUCGGUGUCCUCACCGGCUUCGAUGACUACCUCUACGCCUAUGGCGUAGCAAAACUGCCCGUUUCAACAUCUGCUCUCAUUAUCGCAAGCCAGCUCGCUUUCACAGCAGCCUUCGCGUUC